GAAUCUAUUCCAAACAUAUAUGUCAUGGUUCCUUACUUCGACAGGGUACAAAUAUCUAAAUUUGAUAUUUUUAGAUACUUUUUCAGCUCCCAAGCAGUGGGAGUAGCCAGGGCUCUGACCGCGUGCCUGUUGAAGAAUAAGCCGGCGACUCAUAGGCAGUGGCUUGGUUAAGGGAACCCAUCGGAGCCGUAGCGAAAGCGAGUCUUCAUAGGGAAAUUGUCACUGCUUAUGGACCCGAACCUGGGUGAUCUAUCCAUGACCAGGAUGAAGCUUGGGUGAAACUAAGUGGAGGUCCGAACCGACUUUUCAAAUAGUUUAUGACCCUCUCUUCUACAAAAAAGUUGGCAAGUUACGAUACUGAAAUUGAAAGAUCUCUUUGAUUGCGCGGGAAAGGACAAGCAUUAUCUUCCCAAAGCAUAGCUUGUGAAGGUAUGGAGAAUCAGGAAGUAAAAAAAUAUCAAUUCAUGCAAAGUACCACCACAAGUCCAAAUAGAGGAUCAAUUUGAUGAAGCGGCGCCAAGGCCAGCGAACAGAAUCCUAAGGGAUUAUGACCUGACCGCUUCAAUUGUGAAGCUAGUGCCAGAAAACCUCUAGUGGCAGCCAACAACUUUGAUUGACUUUUUGGAACUUUUUGAAACAACUAAGUAUAAUGGAGUACCUCCAAAAGCUAUCAAGUUAAGGCUAUUUCCUUUUCCUUUAAAAGGAGAUGAUAAGACUUGGUUGCGAAGUUUUCCUCAAGGUUCCAUUACCACAUGGGAUCAAAUGACUCAGAAAUUAUUAAACAAAUAUUUUUCCCUAGCUAAAACCACAAAGUUAUGACAAGACAUAUCUAAUUUCUUGUAGACUGACACAGAGUCAGUUUAUCAAGCUUGGGAAAGGUUAAAAGCAAUGUUAAGAAAAUGUUCAAACCACGAUAUUCCUGAACAUAUGUAAUUGUAUAUUUUUUAUCACGGGCUAAAACCCUCUUCCAGAAAUGUGAUAGAUGCAGCUACAGGAGGUUCUGUAAUGGGAAAAAUCACAGAAGAAGCAUUGCAAAUGUUGAAUGAAAUUUCUGAGAAUUCCAUCCAAUGGCCAUCUGAGCGUAUAAUUAUCAAGAAGGCUGAUACAGUAAAUUAGGUUGAUGCUUUAAAUACACUAACGCAGCAAAUUGUUUCUUUGGCACAAAACUUUGAAGCGUUUCAUGUGAAUACACAACAACCAAGCCAAUCUGAGGUUAGUGAAAUGUGUGGAGGAAAUUAUCAGAACCAUGAAUGUCAAGCAACCAAUCACAAUGAUGAACAUGUCAACAUCAUCGGUUACAAACAGUAUCCUUUUGGACGUCCAAUGGCAUAGAAACAUCAAGAAUUUCAAUGGAGAAAUUCAAAUGGUGCAAAGAGCUCUCAAAGCUUCCAAAAUCAACAAAGGAUUUCAAUGGAGAAAUUCAAAUGGUGCAAAGAGCUCUCAAAGCUUCCAAAAUCAACAAAUACAGGGUCCACCGGGAUACUAGAAUCCAAAACAUGGUCAAUCAAACAUUAGACCUUAUAAACCACAUAGUUAUGACAAGACAUAUCUAAUUUCUUGCAAACUUACACAGAGUCAGUUUUUCAAGCUUGGGAAAGGUUAAAAGCAAUGUUAACAAAAUGUUCAAACCACGAUAUUCCAGAACAUAUGUAAUUGUAUAUUUUUUAUCACUGGCUAAAACCCUCUUCUAGAAAUGCGAUAGAUGCAGCUACAGGAGUUUCAGUAAUGGGAAAUAUUGCAAUUGUUGAAUGAAACUUCUGAAAAUGCCAUCCAAUAGUCAUCUGACCGGAUAAUUAUCAAGAAGGCUGAUACACUAAAUUAGGUUGAUUCUUUAAAUACACUAAUGCAGUAAAUUGUUUAUUUGCCACAAAAGUUUUAAACUUUUCAGGUGAAUACACAAAAACCAAGCCAAUCUGAGGUUUGUGACAUGUGUUGAGGAAAUUAUCAGAACCAUGAAUGUCAAUCAACCAAUCACAAUGAUGAACAUGUCAAUGUCAUCGGUUACAAACAGUAUCCUUUUUGACGUUCAAUGGCAUAAAAACAUCAAGGAUUUCAAUGCAGAAAUUCAAAUGGUGCAAAGAGCUCUCAAAGCUUCCAAUAUCAACAAAGUAUUUCAAUAGAGCAAUUCAAAUGGUGCAAAGAGCUCUCAAAGCUUCCAAAAUCAACAAAUACAGGGUCCACCAGGAUACUAGAAUCCAAAACAUGGUCAAUCAAACUUUAGACCUUAUCAACAAGUAGGGCCCUAUCAGAAAAGGCCUCAACAAGCUCAUUCAAGUCUUGAUGAUCUUCUAUAUAAGUAUAUUAAGGUCACUGAUGAAAAGAUGGAGAGCCAAAAUUCAUCCCUCAAAAAUCUAGAAAUACAGUUGAGCCAAUUGGCAGCUCUUGUUUCAGAAAAGAUUCAAGGUCCCUUACCAAGCAAUACAGAGAAAAAUCCAANNNNNNNNNNNNNNNNNNNNNNNNNNNNNNNNNNNNNNNNNNNNNNNNNNNNNNNNNNNNNNNNNNNNNNNNNAUGAAGUAUAUUAAGGUCACUGAUGAAAAGAUGGAGAGCCAAAAUUCAUCCCUCAAAAGCAUAGAAAUACAGUUGAGCCAUUGGCGGCUCUUGUUCAGAAAAGAUUCAAGGUCCCUUACCAAGAAAUACAGAGAAAAUACCAAAAGAGCACCUUAAGGCCAUCACCUUACAGUUAGGUAUGGAGCUUGAUGAACCCUAUGUAGACCAGUCAGAACAAUAGGUAAACAAUGGAAUGAAUGUUGAAAUACCCUCUGAACCAUCUGAAAAGAAUGAAGUCAAGAAAAAAGAAGAAAAAAAUAUUUAAAAUUUGACUCCUCUCCCUGUAACUAUUCCCUGUUCACAAAAAUGAAAAUAGAAAAGCUUAACAACUAAUUUGCAAUAUUUUUGGAUAUUUUAAAACGAAUUCACAUCAAUAUUCCUUUUACUGAUGCUUUGUUACAAAUGGCUUCAUAUGAAAAAAUUUUAAAGGAAAUUUUGCAAGUUAAAGAAAAUUAUAAGAAGUUUCUAUGGUAAUGCUUAUGAAAAAAUACAGUGCUAUAUCAAAUUAAGCUACCACAAAACUUGGUGAUCCGGACAGUUUUACAAUUCCAUGCACUUUGGGAGGAUUAUGUUUUGAAAAAGAACUUUGUGAUUCUGGAGCUUCAAAAAAUUUGAUGCCAUUUUCUAUCUUUAAAAAUUUAGAUCUUAGUGAUAUAAAAGACAUAAUUGAUUCUCUUCAGUUUUUAGAUCAAAGUACUAAGAAACCUAAGGAAAUAAUUGAAAAUGUACUCGUAAGAGUAUAUAAGUUUGUUUUCCCUAUAGAAUUUAUAGUGCUUGAAAUGAAAUAAUUUCCUAAUGAACCAAUAAUUUUAGGUAGACCAUUUCUUGCUAGUGGAAGAGCAAUUAUAUAUGUUCAUCAAGAAUAAUUAAUUCUAAGAUUUGUUGAAGAAAUGAUCAUCUUUGAUAUGCAAAAGAUACUAAGAUAUUAAGAAGAUUAAACAUCAUCUUCAUGUAUUUCAAUUGAUAUGAUUAGUUAUGUUAUAGAUGAAUUCAAAGAUGAUCAAUUAAUUCCAGAUUCAACGGAAAGAUACUUGAUCAAAUCAGGCACCACACAAGACGAUGAUCCCACCAUCAGAAGAGAAGAUGGAAUAUUGGACAAAGAUUUAGAGAAAAAAGAGAUGAAAUCCGAAGAAUUAUUUUCAGUAAUUAUUUCAUAUUCUCUUACUGUAGGACAAGAAAAUAGUGUGAUUAAAGUAUUGAGUGCACACAAAGGGGACUUAGGGUGGACUGUAGAAGAUAUUAAAGGGAAUGCUCUGGCUAUUUGUACACACAUAAUCCUCAUGGAGGAUAGCUACAAGCCAAUAGUCCAGCUGCAAAUAAGAUUGGAUACAGCAAUGCAGGAAGUAGUGAAAAAAGAGAUUGUAAAACUGUCGGCAACAGGUAUUAUAACGCCCAUGGGUAAGUCCCAUUCAGGUAGUACCAAAGAAAUGAGUAAUGAACAUUAUAAAAAAUAAAAAUACUGAGCUUAUACCUAUCAAGACUAUUACAGGAUGGAGAGUUUGUAUUGAUUACAAUCGUCUCAAUGAUGUCAAUAGAAAAGAUCAUUUUCCUUUGCCAUUUAAAAUCAAAUGUUGGAAAGAAUUGCAGAAUAUGGUUUUUACUGUUUUCUUGAUGGCUACUCAGGAUAUAAUCAGAUACAAGUCGCACCAGAAGAUCAAGAUAAGACAACCUUCAUAUGCCCUCAUGGAACAUAUGCCUACAGGAGAAUGCCAUUUGGUCUGCGUAACGCCCUUGCUACAUUUCAGCAUGCGGCAAUUUUUGCUAACAUGAUUUACAAAUUUCUUGAAACUUUUAUGGAUGAUUUUACACUAUUUGGCAAAACAUAUAAGGAUUUUCUUAACCACUUGACCUUAGUUCUUAAAAGAUGAGAUGAAACAAACUUAGAUCUUAAUUGGAAAAAAUAUCAUUUUAUGAUUAUAGAAGGAAUUUUUUUAGGACAUAAAAUCACUGCUAAAGGGCUAGGAGUUGAUAAGGCAAAAAUUAAUCUUAUAGUAGGAUUACCCCCUCCCACAACUGCGAAAGGAAUUAGGAGCUUUCUAGGUCAUGCAGGUUUUUUUAGAUGAUUCAUAAAAGAUUUCUCUAAAAUUUCAAAACCGCUGACUAACCUCUUGAUAAAAGACAUUAAGUUUGACUGUUCAGGUGACCGUGUGAAAGCAUUUGAAACCUUUAAGGAAACGUUAUCAAGUGCACAUGUUUUCGAUACCUUCUUUUUCUCGCGAAAUCGGGUUUAUGACAUUUGGGCGGACAACUAUUUCCCUUUUGGGAAUUGUGUUUGAAUUGAAGAGUCGUCGCCUAAUGAUUAAGUUCAUUAGGACACCAAAUAGAAUUUUUGAUUUAGAAAAUCAGAGAACGGGCAAGGGCUUAAAAUUAUCUCGAAGGGAAAGUGUUAGUCACCCCUCGAGAUCCACUAGUGUGGUUCCUGGCCAUGCUACAAUUGUGACUUUAAGGGCAAACAAUAAAUGGACAAGUAAGAGUUGCAAAAAUAGAGGGAGCUUUCACAUAAUUGGUGCAAGUGAUUCGGAGUUAAACGAAGUUAAAGAAGCUAAAAUUUGAGAAGAAGUAAUUUUAAAGUUCUGAAUAAACAAGUAAAAAAAAGGAGAUUUUUCACACAGUUGCUGCAAAUAAUUGAAGUUAAAAGAAGCUGAAAUUUGAGAAAAGCAAUUUAAAAUUCUGAAUAAUCAAGUAAAGGGGAGGAAGCUCCUAGGAUUAUAAAUAAUAUGGAUCACCCCACAAAACACACGAUAACCGUUUAUACACGUGGUGAUAUCGCUCGGUCAUCAUAUUUAUAUCUACCCUUUCCCACCCCGUUAAGGUAUUAAACAAGGAUGGUCUCAUUUUCCUAUUACAAGCUAUUAUCCGUCCUGAAUCCUACCAAACCUGGAGGUAUUUGGGACUACUUGUCCUAAAGGGAAGGGAGAUUUGUCUUUUAUAUUAUAAAAGGAGAUAAGUCUAAGGCGACAAACAAAACAUAUAAAACAUAUAUGGGAAAGCACAUAACAGUUAAAAGGCUUAAACAGGCCUCCUCACUUAAAGACGGAUUGUUUAGCAUGUCUCGCAUGUACUGGUUAUAGUCUAAUUAAACUCAGGGUUAUGGCCGAUUGAUAUAUUACAUAUUUAGGAUGAGAAGCUCCAGUCAGGCCUGCUUGCUGGUUUAAAUUGAUAGAAUCUGAUUCAAUUAACAAGUUACCUUAUGACUUGCCUAAGUGUCGAGACAGAACAUAUAGGUAUGUUAUCUAUUAAUUCAGGAAAGAAGUAUACUGAUUUUAAGGGAAAGAAAUUGUCCCUUACAGGAAUAUAAACUGUGAAGUCCUUAUUAGUACUACUGAUUUUAGACUUAUAAGUUGAUGAGUAAUAUUUGGUUGAUUACUCCUAUAGUCAUGCUUUCUAGGCAUUAGUUAAUCUUAGAACACUGUUAUUAACAUGCAAAAAUCCUAUAGGCAGGUCAUCUAAAUGUAGUUAGUUAUUAAAACCUAAGUACACAUUUGCGUAGUGAUAGAUGCAUGCAGAAUUUAGGAAGUCAUAUAGACACGUUGUCUACGUGGUAUGCAAAAAUGCAGAAACCUAUAGACAUGGUUUCUAUAUAAAUGCAGAAGUUAUAGACGUGGUUUCUAUGAAAUGCAAAAAUGCAAAAGCCUUUGGACAUGACAUCUACAUAUGAAAUGCAGAACCUAUAGACAGGAUUUCUAAAGAAUGCAGAGCUUAUGAACAGGGUUUCUAUGUGAAAAUUGCAGAAGUGAAAACAGGACAUAAUUGCAAAAGUAUAAUAAGUACCUAGUAACAUGAUGUCUAUCCCUUUACCUGCAUUAUUUGCCUUCCCCUUUUAACUAAAAACCCUAAUAGUUAUUACAAGAUUAUUACAACACAGAAUAAAAUGAGAAAAAGAAGGGAAAUUACAACAGAAAACUAAAAAUGUCCAACCAAGGAGAACCUGAUUCGGGUUUCCUGCCUGAAGCAUGUAGUAGACCAACUCAAAAGAUCCAAAUCCAAAGACUUUCUCAUUUUUUUGGGGUAUGUUAGAGUUUCAAGAGCCUCAUGGACUCCGAAUAGUGCUUACACCCAAAUUCAUUACAGAAUUGAGACAUUGUGCAGUGUGGAAGAGCGAGCCAUCAAGUGUCCAAGUUCAGAGGGAACUCAAGGUCCCAAAGCAUGGCUCACAGGAGGGGGGAAGAACUUAGAAGAUAGGAAUGAGUGUGAGUGAAAUAGAGGGGAUUCUGUGGAGAGACAAUACAGGCUAAUGGUCAUACCCAGCAAUUGCAAGUGCUGGCACACCCCAACCAGCAUGUUGGCCAUAUUGUUUGUGAGGUAGGACCCCUUAAAGGGGUCAAGUCCAGACAUGAGCAACAACUUGGAUGUUUACAUGUUCAGAACUUUAACUCAAACACAUAGAAGGGGAUAGGGGUAUAGGGAUUCACAAUGGGAACAGAUGCAAGAAAAGAAAAUGCAUAGUUAAUAUUUAACUUCACAUAAAUAGUAAGGUAGGCAUAAAUGUAAUGGUUGUAAAACACAUUGGGGUGAUGCUGAGAGUUAAAACUAGAACAUACCAGUUUCAAGGAAACAAGUAAGAAGAAAUCAAUAGUCUUGUAAAGCCAAAGUGCAAACGAGCAAUAGAAAUGCUAUUGAGAUUAGAAAAGAAUUGCAAAAUCUGGAGUGUAAAAGUAUCGAAUUGAAGGUGUCUGAAGUGCAGAAAAAUCAUGCCCUUUUAUAGUGCAGAGGAAGUAAAAAUAGGUAAGAAAAUAGUUGGAAAUCAAUUACACAAGGUUUCCCUUUAAUUAAGGGAUUCUGAUUUCGUACAGGCAAAAUAAUUAAGUAAAAGGUUCAAUCAAACACUUUUCCAAAUCAGUACAAGAGGGGUAAAUACAUAAAGGUCUAUUUAAGGAUAAGGUUUGACAGCACACGGUUUGUACAAGUAAGGAAAGGAAAUCAACCAAGAAAUCAAAAUUGCAGGCUUUCUACGAAUAAACCAGUUGAGGAAAAGUGAGGAAAGGUUUUUCUUAAGGAAAAUCAGUAACAAUCAAUCAAACCAAAAAAAUGAUUCUGAAUCAUUAAUUAGUUGGAAAGCCUUUUGAAGAAAGCUUCAACACAUAUAAAUGCAUAUAGACAUUCUUCAACAAAAAGAAAUUGUCAUGCCAAUCAGAAGAGUCUAGUAUAGAAGAGUUCAAUGUCAUAAACAAAGAGGUUCGAAUCCAGUUUAUAAACUCAAAAUGAGUCUGAGAGAGUUAAGGGCCAGAAAGCAGAACUCUGGUUCAAACACAAAAUAAACCUCAUCAAACCCCCCAAAUUCUAGGGUUUGUAGGUCGAAUCAGAUACAGAGACGAUGAAACCAAGUAAUUGAAAUAGGCUCAAAGAUUUCUUUCGAAGACUCAUGAAAAAACAAACAUAUAUAAUAGCAAAUUCGAAGCAAAUAGAGUAAAGAAACUGAUUUGAAGCAUAAUAAGAGUAGAAGGAACACAUUUUUAGAAAAGCUUGGAACAUAAACAGGUUUAGAAGAGAAAAGCAGGCCAUAUAACACUUAAGAAAAUAGUAGAGGAAACAUGUUCAAACAAAGGUAUAGUGAAAGGUAAACAAAGAAUUUAAAAACUUAGUAGGAACACAGAGAUGUAGGAAAAACCUAGGAAAGAACACAUAAGGAAACAUAGAAAGAUAAACAUGUGAGACAAUGGCAUAGAAACAUAGUAGAAGAACGAACGGGGCACAGUAGAAGAACAUGCUAACAUAAGAACAUAGUAGAAGAUCAUGCAAGGUAGAAAAGAAAAUAUAAGAAUAUAGCAUAGACAGAUAUCCACAAUGAAAAGAAGAUGAAGAGUCAGAGAAACAUCUUGAAACCAUCGGAAACCCUAAAUCGAAGAGGAGUAAUUAUUUAAAGUAAAAUUGGGGAAAAUGUUUUAAAACUCUAGUAGAGCACAGAUAUAGAACAUAGCAUAGACAGAUACCCACAAAGAAAAGAAUAAAAAGACUCACAGAAACAUCUUGGGAGUUGCAGAAACCCUAAAUCGAAGAGAAGUAAUUUUUGAAACAAAAAUUGGAGAAAAUGUCUUAAAAAUCCAGUAUAGCACAUACAUAGACUUGAUUUAAGAAGACAAUUAGAGGAACCUAGAAUAGCUAGGGUUUCAAAGGAACCCUAGAAUGAGAAAGGCUUGAAAAAAGGUCCAAUCUUGAGUCGGAUGAGUCAGAACCAAGUUUGAAACGCUUUGGAUAUGCCGGAGUAAGGCUAGAGAGGCCAUGGAAAGACGAUCUGAAUGGACACCAUCGAGGUCAGACCUCGAAACUUUGAGCUCCAAGCGUUCAAGAGCAGAGGGAGGUGAGUGUAGGCCAUCCAUGGCCUGAGAAGCCAUAGAUUCCGGUGAGAUGGCGAUUGAAAGUGGUAGAAGAGGAUUACGGCUUCAAGAACAUUCGAGAGAGUCUGAGAGACCAAGGAUUUUUAGGGCGGCAUCUCUAAGUGAAAUGAGUAGGGUUUUGGGGUUUGGUGGAAUUAAAAAGGCAAAGGCCAACCGUGGCCGUUGAAAUGAAUAUCCUCUAGCAAUUUGGACGCUUCCCUUGCAUCGACACACUUUAGUAAUCCAAAAUAUGGAAUACUCCUAUACAGGAUUCCUCUGCUAUGAAAGAAAUUGUUAGAAAUUCUCCGAAGUGUGCGCUUCUGAGUAGCAUUUUUGAGCUCGAGGUAUUCUCCUUUUGUUAAAUAUUCCUUGAUAUCAUGAAACCAAGGUUUUUCGUCUGCUUCUUCCUCGACAUGAGCACGAUAAGCUGGCUGGCCAUAGAUCUUCAUGGGAAUAGGAUUAAUGAAAUUCUUAUCUGGAUGUUGUAUCAUAGUGGCCAGGGUAUCCAGUGCAUCGGCGAACUCAUUCUAGACUUUUGGAACAUGUUGGAAUUCCGUCUUUGUGAACCUCUUUCUCAACUCAUGUACAUGAUGUAGGUAUGGAAGUAUUUUGAUGUUCUUGGUUGCCUAUUCUUCUCGAACCUGAUGUAUAAGUAAGUUUGGAUUUCCAAUCCCUAGCAACUCUUGGUUGUUCAUGUCAAUGGCCUUCUUGAGCCCUAAGAUGCAGGUUUCGUACUUGGCCAUAUUGUUAGUGUAAGGGAAGCAGAGCUUGGUGGAUACCGGAUAAUGCUGGCCGAUUUCUGACACUAGGACAUCCAUUAAAAUGUGUUACUCCGUCGAAAAACAUCCUCCAACCAUCAUAGAAUUCUGCAAUGUCUUCUCUUACAAAUGAUACUUCCUUAUCAGGAAAAUACGUCUUCGGGGUUCGUAUUCUCCGUCCACAUGAUUUUCUGCAAGGUGAUUUGCUAGUGAUUGUCCCUUGUAUGUCUUUUGAGUCACAUAGACAAUGUCAAAUUCACUCAACAGGAUUUGCCACUUUUCUAGCUUGCCAGUGGGCAUGGGCUUCUGGAAGAUGUACUUCAAAGGACUCAUUCCUUGAUAUAAGAUAUGUAGUAUAAGCACAUAAAUAGUGCCUCGACUUCUGAGAUACCCAAGUCAGAGCUCAACAGGUGCGUUCCAACAGAGAAUUUCGGGACUUGUUCCUCCUCGUUUCAUCGUGUUUCCCUAGAACACAUUCUAAUGAUCCAUCCAAUGCUGUAAGGUAGAGUAUUAGGGGUCUACCUGGCUCGGGCGGGACCAAAACUUGCGGUGUUGACAAGUACUCAUUGAUUCUAUCGAAGGCCUUUUGGUAGUUAUCGGUCUAUUUUGUAGCAGCGUUCUUCUUCAACUUCUUAAAUACUAGCUCACAUAUGGCAGUAGAUUGUGUAAUGAACCGUCUAAUGUAGCUAAGACUCCCCAAGAAACUCAUUACUUCUUUCUUGUUCUUUGGCGAAGUCAAUUCUUGAAUAGCUUUGACCUUCGAUGGAUGCAAUUCUAUCCCUCGGUGACUCACGAAGAACCCAGCCAAUUUUCUAGCUAGAACACGAAAUGCACAUUUUGCGGGAUUCAAUUUCAGGUUGUACCUUCUCAGCCUAUUGAACAAAUUCCUCACAUCUACCAUGUGAUCAGUGGCUUUCUUGGACUUGAUGACGACGUUGUCUAUAUACCUUUCGAUCCCCUUAUGUAUCAUGUCAUGGAAAAUGGUAGUCAUGGCCCUCAUGUAAAUGGCCUCCACAUUAGUUAACCCAAACGGCAUCAUCUUGUAGCUAUACAUCCCCCACGGCAUGAUGAAAAGUUGUUUUCUCAGCAUCUUCUUCAUUCAUCCAUAUCUGAUGGUACCCAGCAAAACAAUCAACAAAUGACUACAGCUCAUGCUUGGCGAAGUUAUCAAUCAAGAUGUGUAUAUUCAGCAAGGGGAAGUCGUCUUUUGGACUAGCCCGGUUGAGAGCCCCAUAGUCAACACAAGCUAGACCUUCCCAUCCUUCUUUGGUACUGGCAUAAUGUUGGCUAACCAUGUCAAAUACUCUUCUACCUUGAGAACCUUAGCUUUGACCUGCUUAGUGACCUCUUCCUUGAUUUUCAAACUCAUAUCUUGCUUUAAGUUUCUAAGUUUUUGUUUUACUAGCGGAUAGGCUGGGUCAGUUGGAAAUUUAUGAGCCACAAUGGAGGUGCUCAAACCAGCCAUGUCAUCGUACGACCAGGCGAAUAUGUCUUCAUACUCUCUCAGAAAUUCUGUGUACUUUUCCUUUUUUGAUGGUGACAGGUGAACGAAGAUUCGUGUUCCUUUGAUGUUUUUUGCAUUUCCCAAGUUAACAAUCUCAGUGUCGUCCAAGUUGGACUUAGGUAUGUUCUCAACAUUCUCAACUUUCUCUUAAUCUCUUAUGGUAUAUCAUUUUCCUCUAAGUCUAUGUCCGCUUAUUGCGUUGUCUCAUUGCACGUCAUAGUCAUUGGUUCAUGAAGAUAAGUAAUAGUAUUGAUGUAUAAGUAAAGUAAUGAGAAAAAAUAAUAAGAGUAAGGUUUAUAAGAAAACAUAAACGAUUUGAUAGAUUCCAUAAAUUUUUUGAACAUUGGAGCUUUUUCUUGCAAAAAUAAAAAUGCAAAGCGAAAGUAAACUAAUAAAGUAAAGUAGUGCAUGGUGCUUGUUCAGCCUUGCUACACCGAGGCUUGCCGUGUUCUGAUGGUUCUGAUAGUCUAGUUAUUGAGGCGUUCUCCUCCGCUUACAUCCUAUAUAGAAGGGACUUCCUCCCCAUCCUCCUCGAAAAUGACAUAACAAUCCAUGUUAUCGUCUUCUAGGAACAAAUUCAUCAUCACUGCUAAUGCUUCCUCUUCUUCCGACCCGUAGAUAACUUUGGCCGGUUGGAAGGUCUGCUCUUAAUGGGGUAUCUGCUACUCCAAUAGGUAGUAAAGAUCAUGCAAUGGAGGCGACAGUGGUUGAAUUCAUCCCAAGUGUACUCAUACCCCAAUUCGAAGAUGGUGAUGUGUUUCUUGAACUUGAUGGGCUUAACGAUUCCUUAAAGAUUCUUGCCGAGUCCUUUGCCAGGCUCAUACCCGCUCCAGUUCCGUAUGCUUUUAAUUUAGUUGUACUACCAAUUACCCCUAUCUUCUUCUUCCUCUAAUCGCUAGGAUGGUCUGGCGACUAUAUAUGGGAUUGCUACCGUCACCAUGAAUGACUACCUCCUAGUGAUUCCAUUCAAACUUUACUACCUAAUGUAGUAUGGAUGCCACGGUCCAUCGGUAUGAAUCCAUGGUCAUCCCAACAUCAGAUUCUAAGAUGUCGGCACGUCUAUCACUUGAAAAUCAACAUCAAAACAAGUAGGCCCCAUUUGCAAACAUAUGCUAAUUUCUCCAAUAGUAGACCUUUGAGACCCGUCGAAAGCCUUAAUGUUGAUGGCCCUGUCCUUGAUUUCAUGCUUCCUUUUCCCCAAUGUCUUGAGUGUCACCAGAAGACAUAUGUUGAGACUGGACCCCCAAUCGACUAGGAUCUGGGUGAUAAAAUAAUACUAGCACUACAUGGUGAUGUGCAAUGCCUUAUUGUGACUCAAUCCCUCCGAUGGCAACUCAUCUUCAUGGAAAGUGAUUUUGUGACUCUCCAAUACCUGCCCUAUCAUGUUUUUCAUUUCUCCUCUGGUGAUGUUUCUUGGUACAUAUGCCUCAUUCCACACUCCUAACAAGGCAUUCUUGUGUGCAUCAGAACUCUAUAGCAAAGCAAGGAUAGAAAUUUGCACCGGUGUUUUGUUCAGCUAAUCAAUGAGUGAGUAUUCCUUCGCUUGUAUUUUUCUCCAGAGAUCAUCAGGCCUAGUUUCGAUGAUGGUUUGUCGACCAAAGGUCUUCUUACUUGACUCAUCCAAGUAUCGUGGAGUGUAAACCCUGCCGGUCCUGGUCAUACCCUGUGCUGCAAUUGCUUCUCAGAACUUGGCUUUCCCUUUCCUUCUUGCCUCAGCUGUGUAGUCCCAUAGUACGCCUUUUGUGUGGAAUAUUGUAAUGGAUUUCAUUGAUACCGGAAUGGGCACCCUUGAUUUGGAAGGUAAUACAGCAACUUCAAAUGGUACAGGCGCCUUUGGGGACCCAAAAUCAACCUCAAUUGGUGUUGGCGCUUUUGCAGAAGCCGGUGUUUCAAACUCAAGUGGUAUGGACAUGUUCAUCUCGGCAUCUUCAGAAGGCUGAAUUCCGACUACAAUUGGAUUAAGGGUGAUUGUUGGUUUCUUUGGAUCGUCGACUUCUGUGAUCAAACUGAUUAAUCCUUUGGGAUCCCAAUCAUCCUCUAUUUCAAUCAAAGAACGCCUCCACCUUUGUGGUAUUCUAGAGGGUUAUUGCAGACAAUUAGGGCUGGUACCUUUGCCACAAUGAUCUUGUUGUCAAUCAAAGCCUGGAUCUUAUCCUUCAGGCAGCGACAUUCAUCAAUGGUGUGCCUUUUAUGCUAGAAUGGUAUGCGUAGGUUUUAUUUGGAUUGACCUAUUAAGAAGGGUUUUCAAGGGUUAUAGCAGGGAUAGAGGUGACAUAACCAGCAUCUCUGAGUCUUUCAUGCAGCUGGUCGAUUGGUUCAGCAAUGGAGGUAUAGUGUUUAGGAGGUCUGCGUUCAAAAUUUGUCAAGGUCUAAAAAAAUUUUAAUCAGAGGGAGAUGAUUGAUAAUGUGAUUGUUGAGUGUUGUAGGUUUGGUGGACAUGUGCAAGCUGAGAAUAUCAGAGUAAAGUAGGUUGGUAUGUAGGAGGUGGAGGCGAUUAAUAGGUAGGCGGUGGAGUUUGGUAGGAAGGUGCGGGUGUUUGAAAACUUGGAGUGGGCUCAUAUGUAAGUGGAGGUAUUGGGUAAGAUUGGUAUUUGACAGGUGAUUUGGUUCUUUGUGCAACCAUUACGACACCUACGUCCCUCUUCCUGGACGUACCGCCAGACUGUAGGGCCUUGUUGGUGUCUUGUAAAGCUUCAAAGUUCAUAACUAUACCACUUUUGAUACCUUCCUCAGUCCUUCAUCCUAUCUUGAUAAUGUUAGAGAAUUUGUGUUUUUCGAUCAACAUCAGCCUUUCAUGGUAUUGCGAAUCCUGAGCUCGGACGAAGAACUUGUUCAUUUGUUCCUCCCAUAAAGCAGGUAGGACCUUAGCAACCUCUGAUCUCCAAUGAGUGGCAUACUCACGGAAUGUUUCUAUAGGUUUUUUCUUUAAAUUCUGAAUUUUAAACACACCCGUUGUGUUUUCCAUAUUGAAUCUGAAUCUGUCUAUGAAGUCGGUCGCCAUACCAACACAAUUCGACCACUUCUUUGGGUCUAGGCUAAUGUACCAAGACUGAGCUUCUUCUUUCACGCUCCUCAUGAAAAGCUUCAUGCAGAUCUUUUCAUAUUUUCCUACUCCGACCAGCUUGUCACAGUAUUUCCUCAAGUGAACCCUGAGGUCCCCUGUACCAUCAAUUAUUUUGAACUUUGGAGGUUUGUACCCCUCGGUUAGUUUGACAUCGGGCUGUAUGCAUAGAUUAACAUAGUAUAGCCCAUCAAUUUCCUUACUUCCUUCAACGCCUUGAAUUUUGGUGGUCAACUUCUUUAAUUCUUCGGCCAGAUUUCUGAUAAGCAAGCCCUUAUCAUCGGACUCGGUUGUGCUUGAGAGGGUGGAGUGUGGGACGGUUUCCACGUAGAUGAGGGUGUUGUGUUUGGUUUAGCAGUUGUCAUUUGUGGAGUUCAAAGGUUCCAGGAUGAGUAAUGGAGUAUUGUUGGGAGUAUGGAAAGCAUUGCAGUGAGGGCGGGGAGCAUGAUGGUUUUGUUUCUUUGGGACGUUUUAUGAAGGUACGGGAUUUUGAGUACUUGGGAAAUUAACCUUUGGAGUGGAAAUGGAAAAUGACAGACCUGCCAAACUUUGGACUUGAUCUAGUUCUUCCUGAAAUCUCGACAACUUUUGUUCAAGUUAGGACGCGCUUUUUUUGGAAACUUGAGUACCCUGAGUGAUCUCUGCCCGUUCAACUAAGCUUUCCUUUCUCAAUUCUUCCAUAUUUCCCUUAUUCCUAUUUCAAAUAGGAGUAAGAGGAGGAAUGGAUGGAGGGCCCUUGGAUCUUGUGGAAUAUGAUAACGAUGGCAGAGUGCACAAACUAAAAUUUGGAAGAGGGGAGGGGGGGGGGCUAAAACAAAAAGGUAACAAGUUAGUGAGGAUUAUAAGAUGAGAUGUUGCGAUAUUUAAACACAUAGUGCAGGAAUGUAAAUUGUGUCCUAAAUUAGGAGCCUCGUUGUGCCCGAGGUAGGCCUAGAGACAAAUUGAUUUAGAGAACUUAUAAUGCUAAAUGCCUUAUCUUAUUGAUAGAAACAAAGAUGAAUCCUAAACGACACUAAUUAACAGGAAAUAAAAUGUCACUUAUGGCCAUUUAGUGAACGAAAAGGUAAAAUCCUAUCUACUUAGUCCCAUAAGGACCUUCACCAGACUCGGCAUCUUUGGCUCUGUCGAACAGUUGUACCAGCUCACGAAGUCCCAUCAGUAAGUACGCUCUCGCGAGGUUCCCAUCUUUAUUUCUCUUUGCAUUCUAGCAGUCCUCGACCCUUCUGACGAAUUUCCUUUCCAGCUCUAAUCCCCGCAAAAGUACCCCAGUCGCUUGUUGAUGCUGACAGCAAGGUCUUUUCAUUCUUCAAUCAAUUUUUGGUUGGCUUCUUGAACUUCACGGUGCUCAAUUUAACACUACCAAAUCCUUUUGCGCAAUUGGAUGUACUUGACCUGUGCUUCAGCCCUUUUAUGGAUGAUCCUUGACCUCGAGAAAACUCGGGUUGACCCAGACCAUUAUGAUUGUCUCCUAACCAACUGGGAUAGUAUGGAGUAUAACCGGCAUGGUACUUGUCUCGCUCAAUAUUAUAUCUUCCCAUGACGAUUUUGCAGUGCCACAUAUGCUGAGAUUAGCACUUGUGAGGGAUAUCAUUGUCAUGAAAUUCGGCCCGAAAGUGACUUAUUUUAUCAACCCUUGGUACAACCUGCUUCCUGCCAGCCCUUCUCAUAACUCACAGAGGGACAUAAAGAUAUGUUCCUCUCAAACCAAUAAGCAUUAGGAAUGGUGCAUUCCCGUGAUCGACCAAUAAAAUCUUCAGUAGGGAACAAUUUGAACAUCCAUUGUACUUGGUCCUCUUUAAGAUUUUCAAAUAGUUCAACCCAUCCUUUGGCAUCUCCCGGCUGAGCAAACAUGUUGGGCAUAUAGUUCAUCCUUCUUGGUUGGUGGAAGACUAUAUGAUCAUCCCAGUCCCUAUGCUGAAUCUCCUAUCUAUAUUCACCCUUUUUGAGGUUCUCGCUAAGCCAGAGUUUGAGUAGCAAGUUGUCACCCUCGAAGUGUUUGGCUCCCUGUUGACAUUUCUCCAAGGCUCGGUAUAUUUUCAAUGAUCAUGCGCACCAUGCUAAAUGGUUGCCCACAAUUUCCCUUCAUUAAGGUUUUGGUGACCAGGCUAGCCGGUAUGGAUCCUUACUUUCUUCAUCAGAAACACUAUCAUCCCCAAGAAAUAGAGCAUGAAGACAAAUACCCUUCGAUGAAUAUGCCCCAAUGUAAGGGCGAACUUGUCCGGAUAAGUACAGUAAGAUUUGCUAUGACCGUACCUCUCAUAAAAGUAAUCAAAGGGAAUAUACGACUCUUUCAAACAUGUUAAGUCUGGAUUCUUCUUUAGACCUAUCAUUUUGACAAAACCUCUACCCUUGCAAUUUUUAGGCAUUAACAGACCCGAAGUUUCCCAUAGUAUACUAGCCUGUCCUCCUAAUUCCUCUAGCAAGUGUGUCACCUCACCUAUCACAAUCUUAGAACAGGGUAGCAGCUUCAAUAGUUGUUGGGUUAGAAUUCCAAAAGGGAAGGUAAAUUCCCCAAGUAUUUUAGGACGAGAGUCUGAUCACUGGAAUGAAGAUCUUCCCACCAGUUUAGCAAUUUUUUAUAGUUACUGGUGACUAUUAAUAAUAGGUUAAGUCUAGGUGAUUUUGAGAUUGUUUACACUUCCGCUUGAUUAUGUUUUCAUGUCAUAAUAUAGUUAAAAGAUGAAAAAUAGGCUCUAAUUGUGAAUUGUAUACAUUGCAAGAUGAGGAACCUACGUGAUGCCUUAACGUUGUGAUUGGAAUUAUUUUGGAGCAAGAAAGACCCUUCAGAGCUAAGUGCGCACAAAGACGAGGAAAAGAAUCGAGGAAACAAGGGACUGGGCUAGCACGCCCAACACAGAAUGUUGUCCAACUAGCGCGGCCAGAUGUGCUCCCAGCUGUGCGACCAUGCUAGUCCAAAUAUCAGAAAGCUUUGUUCAGAUGUAUAAAUGAAAAUCUGGAGGAUAGCCCACUUAACCUAUAUAAAAUCAAUCUCGCUCAAGGAUUACUUAUCAAGGUUUUCAUAGUCUAGAGUAGGAAAGGGAGAGGCAAGAGGAGGACGACGUUUUUGAGAGGAAAACACAAACACAGAGCCGCCGAAAGGGCCGCUUUCAUCUUUUCUUCCUCCAAACUUAGUAAUUUUUAUGUUUCUUUGUAUGAUUUGUUGUUCUGCUUACAUGUAAACUUCACAUUCUAGGGUUGUGGUUCUUUCAUGACUAUUAUUAUUCGGAUAUUGAUUUUUAUUGCUUAGUUUAUCAUAUUGAUUUAUUUAUUCAAUCCCGCACUUAAUUAUUUGAUUGCUUGAUUACCAAUUGAAUACUAUCUACGAAUCUUCAAUUGAACUUGAAAGUAGGCACCGAGAAACAAAUUAGUGGUUAGGAUAGACAUAUCCCUAAUUGCCUUGCUUGGUUGAUUUACAGGAAUUAUAAAUGUGUUCUUGUUGAUUUUAACUCCAUAGACAUAUAGGCGUUAUGUUAGCUUGAAUAGGCAAGUAAGAACUCGACUGAUUCUUAUGAGCAACAUUAACCCUGUCAACCAAUAAACUAGAUAAAUUAGUUAGUUAAUUCAAUAGAAGAAGGUUAGCUUGAAUUGGCGAGUAAGAAAUUUACAGAUUCUUAUGAGUAAUUUUAACCCUGUCAACCAAUAAACUAGAUAAAUUAGUUAGUCAAUUCAAUUGAAGAAUACAAUAGGAAUGUUAGAUAGCCCAUAACCCUAGAUCGUUUUCAUUACAUUAAUAUCAUAAAAAUCUGCUCUUUCUCUGUCCAAAGUUUAUUAUUUGUUUUUAUUUAUUUUAAGUAGUUUAGAAUCAAAUACUUCUAGGUUUAAUUCUUGUAUAGAAAAUUAGGAUCUUUAAUUCAGUUAAUAGUUAAUCACAAGUCCUCGUGGGAUCGAUAUCUGGCUGUUAGUCACGUUAUAACUUAACGACCGCGUAUACUUACGUGUGCAUUUGAUCGCAACAUGCUUUUGGCACUGUUGUCGGGGACUUAGAAAUUAGCUGUUUUACUAGAUUAGAUUUUUACUUUUUGCCAAUUCAAGUUUGUAAUUUUUUUAAUCUUAGUUUAAUAUUUUAUAAUCUGUGUUAACAUGGCAUCUUGGAAUAAGAAUUGGUCAAAUAUUGGAUAUUCUUAUUAUGAUGAUCCUUGUCCAUAUUAUGGAGGACCUCACUGAUGGAAAAAUUGUCAGCAUGUUUCAGGGAGCAAGUUGUCCGCACAAUCUCAAUCCGUUAAGUGGAAUAUUUCUAAUAUAUGUGGUGCUCAAGGUGGCCAUUGGGAUGCUUGUCCUAAUUCUUAUUAUCCUUCUCAGAGUUCUAUUAUAAUAUUUCUAAUAAUGUUUAUGACUUUGAUAGGAGCAAGGAAGUGGAGGAUAUGAAAAGUAUGGCUCGUAUUAUGGACAUGAUGAUGCAAUUAGUCGAACAACAAGAUGAACUUUGAAAGGCUGCACAAAUAAUUAGUGCAGCAAUCAUGAGAAGGAAGGCCGAUGCGGAGGAAGCGGCUGAAGAGAGCGAGUUCCCACCAGAAGAUAAUUUAGAAGAAGUGGACAUAGUGAGCCAAUCUUGGCUAGAGGAACAAGCUCAACUGAUAAAAUCUCAUGACUUUCUACGUGAUGGUCGUUCAAAUAUGAUAGAAAAACUAAUAGAAGGAAGAAUUGAGCUCAGGAAAGAGAUAAACCAACGUGGCUUAGAUAUCCAUGACAUGCACGAUCAAUUGAAUAAAAAGGUUGAGGUGUCUGAUGCCCUACAACCAUUUUUUGUGGAUACUGGCCAGCUUGAGGAGAGGAAAAAGGAACUGCAACUAUUCGACCAAAAUAUUAUUAAUGAUGCCAAGGUUGACAAAGAGUGCAAAAUUGAGGAUGUAAAAAAUAAUGCAAUUUUGGAGUUAGAGCGUAUUGGAUCUCAUUCUAAAUACUUUUUAACAUUGUAUUUGGUUGGUGACACGAGAAUUGAUAUAGUUGAGCAUAUGGACGAGUCAAUGAAUGAGGAACAAUUUGAACAUUGUUUUGUGCUGGUGACAUUGAAAUUGAUCCUUUCGAGCAUAUGGAGGAUUCAAUAGAUGAGGAACAAAGUGUUUAUAUUCUUAAAUUUGCCACACUAAGGAAACAAAACGACAUUCCUCACUUAAAGGCUAUGAAGUGAAAGAUGCGAUACAUGUUACUUGGUUUCUUUAUUUUUACACAACCGCCCUAGGAACGUGAUACAAAGGAUGAUGAAAAUUGGGGGCGCAAUUUAUAUCCAAAAAGUGGAAGGAAAAGUAAUAAAAGUGUUGGCAUUGUGCCGCAACGUUAAAUCAAGCGCUUGUUGGGAGGUAACCCAAUUCUAUUUUUUUUAUUUUUUAUUGUGCUUAAUUUAUUUUAUUGUGUUAUUUUUCAUAGUGUUGCUUUUGUGUUUUGUAGGAGUUGGAGCAUGGAGUCAUAGCCAAUAGGCAUGUGUAAAAGCGAGCAACUGGUUGAAACUAAGUGUGAGGUACCCGCAUAAAGAAUCAUACCUGGAAAAAGUCUGAGUAUCCCGUGAGCUGCUAAUUCUUCGGCCUUUAGCCUACCAUGGAGUUUCUUUUACCCUCUUGUUAUGUUCGGUGUGCAUUGAGGACAUUGCACAAUUUUAAGUGUGGGGUGGGGAGAUUGUCUGGGGGAUUUUAUGUGAUAUCUUAGUUUUGUUGUCUGGGUGAAAAUAUGUAGACUCUUCCUGAUGUUGGAUCCUUUAGACAAUUUUCUCGAGGGAAGUUAGUCUAGAGAAAACACCAAAAAGUUUUUUUUUUCUUAGGUAGUGUAGCAACUCCCCUUUGGUUUUUCCUUAGGCCAUGGUUCUUUUCAAAGGGUUUAACUUGAACUGGGUAUAGGUAGUUUUUUUUAAUUUAUUUUCUUAUUUUAUUUUUGAUUUGUAGAUUCCGUUUAAUGGGCUACGAGCUAGAAAAUCAAAAGGUAACCCAUAGCAUUGACACACCUGAACACAAUAGACCCUAGAGUGUAACGCUUAGUCUUAUUUGUUGAAUCUCAAUAAAGUGCCUUAAUCUCUAUGUUUUUUACUAAAUUGAAUGCUCAUAAAGGGCGUCUUGAUAAGCUGAUUUGGAAUGAGUCAUAUGCCAUGUGUGGUGAAGCUUUAGUAUAGUCCAUGUAUUGUACUUGUGUCUAGAACUUGCCCGGUAUGUGAGUCGAAGCGAAACUUUAGGUGAUUCCCGGUCUGAAAAAUGAUUUUAGGCUUUCUUUGAUCUUUUUUGAGCUUUAUUACUUAUCAAAAAUAAAAUUUAUCCCUAGUUUACCCUUUUGAGCCUAUAGACUUUUAUUGUGUACUCACAUUACAAGCCUAUAGCUUUUUUGUUCUUAUUUGACAUUAUUUUGAUCCCUUUCCUCUUAAAGCACUUUAAUCGUGAGAUGAGCGCUAAAAGAAGUAAGAAGGAACUAAGUGUGGGGUGGCUUUUGGGUAGCACCAAUGAAAGAAAGAAGGGUGCACUUGAUAUGUAAACUAAUACACCAAUAUUGAAAUAUAUAUAGAAGAAAGAGAUGAAAAAUUUAUAUCUUGUUCCAGCUAGUAGGUAUGAAUUAAUAUAGUGCUUAAAGAAGAAGGGAGCAUUUUUGGGGUGAUAUUAUUGGUGAAAUUAAAUUGAAGAAAUUACGCUUAAAGUUUAUUAUGUGAUGUGUUGAAGUGCUUAGGAGGGUAAACCAUUAUUCCCAAAUAUAUCCUACCCGUCCCUUAGCCCAUUUUACAAUCAUGAAAAAGACCUAAUUUGAUUUUAGAUCGAGUGAGCCCACAUUAGUAGAGAUUUACAUGAAGGAAAAUAUUAUGGUACCAAUUGCAUGUAUGUGACUUCUGUUGUGAGUGUGAGUGAUUCUCUUUGAUAUAUGUGAGCAUGAAAUGCAAAUGUGUGGAUUGAUUGUGAGGUCAUGUGAUUCGUGAAGGAAAGUCAAGUAUUGACUUCUGUGUAUAGUAUCUUGAGGAAGUAUGAAUACUACAUGGCACUUGAGAAUCGACUUGUGAGGCCAGGAUUGUUCAUUGCUAGGCGUAAUGUAUGUAAUAUUUUUCUAGGUGUAAUGCGUUAGGAGAAAUAGUUGAGUGAAGGAACCGCUAGAAAGUAUAAUGUGAUUGCUCGAGGACGAGCAAUGAAUUAAGUGUGGGGUUUUGAUAAUAGGCUAAGUCUAGGUGAUUUUGCAAUUAUUUAUACUCACUCUUGAUUAUGUUUUCAUGUCAUAAUAUGUUUAAAUGAUGAAAAGUCUCUAAUUGUGAAUUGUAUACAUUGCUGGAUGAGGAGCCUAUGUGACGUCUUAACGUUGUGAUUAGAAUUAUUUUGGAGCAAGAAAGACCCUUCGGAGCUGAGUACGCACGAUGACGUGGAAAAGAAUCAAGGAAACAAGGGACUGGGCUGGCGCUCCCAGAUGCGCGCCAGCGCUACUUUUAGCAUGCCCAACAUAGAACCUUGUCCAACUAGCGCGGCCAGAUGCCCGCCCAGGUGCGGACCGCGCUAGUCCAAAUUUCGGAAAGCUUUGUUCAGGGGUAUAAUUGGAAAUUUGGAGGAAACAACACUUAACCUAUAUAAAGUCAAGCUCGCCCAAGGAUUAUUUAUCAAGGUUUUCAUAGUCUAGAGUAGGAAAGGGAGAGACGAGAGGAGGACGUUUUUGAAAGGAAAACACAAGAACAGGGCCACCGUGAAAGCUGUGUUUCAUCUUUUCUUCCUCCAAACUUAGUAAUUUUUAUGUUUCUUUGUAAUAUAUUUUUUUACUUCCAUGUCUAUGUGGAGCUAAACUUCACGUUCUAGGGUUGUAGUUCUUUCAUGACUAUUAUUAUUCGGAUAUUGAUUUUGAUUGCUUAGUUAAUCAUAUUGGUUAUUUAUUCAAUCCUGCACUUAAUUAUUUGAUUGCUUGAUCACCAAUUGAGUACUAUCUACGAAUCUUGAAUUGAACUCGAAAGUGGUAAUUCUAGAUUGCAUAUAGGAUUGAGUACUGGGCAUCGGGGAACGGAUUAGAGAUUAGGAUAGACAUAUACCUAAGUGCCUUGCUUCAUUAAGUUGCACGAAUUAUAAAUGUGUUCUUGUUGAUUCUAACUCCAUAGACAUAUAUGCAAUAGGUUAUCUUGAAUAGGGAGUAAGAACUCGACAGAUUCUUAUGAGCAUUAUUUACCCUAUCAACCAAUAAACUAGAUAAAUUAGUUAGUCAAUUCAAUUAAAGAAUACAAUAGGAAUGUUAGAUAGCCCAUAACUCUAAAUCGUUUUCAUUACAUUGAUACCAGAAAAAUCUGCUCUUUCUCUGUCCAAAGUUCAUUAUUUACUUUUAUUUUGUUUUAAGUAGUUUAGAAUCAAAUACUUCUAGUUUUAAUUCUUGUAUAGAUAAUUAGGGUAGUCUAAUUUAGUUAGUAGUUAAUGACAAGUCCUCGUGGGAUCGACAUCCGACUAUUAGUCACUUUAUUACUUGACGAACGCGUUUACUUGCGUGUGCGUUUGAUCGCAACAAGCUUUUCCCAUGCCGAGUCUGGGAACUUCGUGCCUCAUUUUCUGCAAGACAAAAGUGUUAGGCCCUUACCCCUACAAGACUCUACUAUUAAAUAUCAAUAAUUGGCAUAAAAGCAUUUAGUUCUCCAAAUAAAUGCACAGAACGUGAUAGUGUCUGUUUGGGUUUCAAGGAAACCUAGUGGACUUUUGACAAGGGAAUCAUAAAAAGUCAUUAUGCAGACAACAUAACUGACUCAGCUAGCUUUUGACAGUGAUACAUGCACAAUUAGACAAAGUAGGGCUUCUAUGGGGUAUUAGAACAGUACCCUUGAGCGGAAAACUCAAGAGGGAAAGGCAAAGAACCGUCGACUACACUGUUGAUCGAUUGGUUUUACCGCAAAUAUGCCUUUGCUGGAUUUAGGGGGUUAUAAUCUCGGAAGGGCGCAACCACUCAUUAUAAGUGUUGCUAGGUAUUUUGUUUGGCACAAGUAUAAUAUGAUGUAGAAUAUACAACAACUAAUAAGUUGUUACAUAUUCGCACGUUCAUAAAGUACUAAUUACAACAGUUUCUCAUAAUUUACCACAAUAUUAAAGGAAAGGGAUAAAGGAAAUCAUUAAGAGAAAUAACGAAAAUAAAAAAAGAGCCAGGUCAGUUCCAAGGUUGAAGAGAAAAGUACUUAAAGCCAUUUAAACAAACAAAGAUAUAUAAAGAAGCAUAAAGUCACAAAUAGCAUGAAAUGGUAAAAGCUUUAACGAAAACCCCAAUAGAGUCGCCAUGCUAUCGAUACCCCAUUUUUCUCAAGAAAUCAGAUUUAUGACAUUUAAGUGGACAACUCUUACCCUUUUGGAAGUUGGGUUUGAAUUGAAGAGUCGCCACCUAAUGAUUAAGUGCAUUAGGACACUAAAAAGAUUUUUUGAUUUAGAAAACUAGAGAACGGGUAAGUUCUUGAAAUUAUCUCAAAUGGAAGGUGUUAGACACCCCUCGAGAUAUGCUAGUGUGGUUCCCGGCCACGCUACAAUUAUGACUAUAAGGGAAAACAACAAAUGGACAAGUAAGAGUUGCAAAUAUAGAGGAAGUUUUCACAUAAUUGUUGCAAGCGAUUUGGAGUUAAAAAGAAGUUAAAGAAGAUGAAAUUUGAGAAGAAGUAUUUUAAAGUUCUGAAUAAACGAGUAAAAACAGGUGAUUUUUCACACAGUUGCUUCAAAUAAUUGAGGUUAAAAGCAGCUGAAGAAGCUAAAAUUUGAGGAAAACGUUUUGAAAUUAAGAAUAAUCAAGUAAAGGGGAGGAAGGUUCUAGGUUUACAAAUAAUAUGGAUCACCCCACACAACACUCGUUAACCCUUUAUACACGUGGUGUUAUCGCAUGGUCAUCAUAUCCAUAUCUAUCCUUUCCCGUACCGUUAAGGUAUUAAACGCGGAAUGGUCUCAUUUUCCUAUUACAUGCUACUAUCUGUCCUGAAUCCUAUCAGCCCCAGCAAGUUUAUCGAGGGUCCUAUACCACCCAUCAGAUCUAGCAUGGCUCUAGAGUUGGAGAUUGAUAUUCCUUAUCAACAGGUAGUGAGCAUUUCUAGGAGGAUCGAGAGUAUGCUCGCUAGGGGGCGGGUGGAGAAAGAGGCCAAGAGGUCUCGAGAGUCGGGACACUACUCUGGUGCCCGUACCCCAGCAGCAGGUCAACAUGGUAGAGGUUUUGUGGAUUGCACCGUUCAUUCAGCUCUUCCAGCAGCCAUCAGUACUCCAUCUCCGCCUAUACCUCAGGAGCCUUACCAUGCACCUCCAAUUUCUAGCGCGCCUCCUGCGCGGGGUUUUUCCAGAGGUCAGUGCAGCAGACCUAGCCCUAGCUCACAACCGACGCAGCCUCCCUGAGCUUGUUUCGAGUGUGGUGAUACAUGUCAUAUUGUUAGGGACUGCCCCAGACUUGGUAGGGAUGCAUCUUUAUAGACUGCUCAGCCACAACAUACUUAUUCUUAUGUGUCUUCUUAAUUUACUCUGCAUUUGGGUGUGCCUCGGGAUUCUUUGAGUGCCCCGGUUUAUGUUUCUACUCCUAUGGGAAAUUCUCUAGUUGUGGACCGCGUUUAUCGGUCCUGUUUGGUUAUUAUUCAUGGUUUUGAGACCAGAGCGGAUUUAUUGUUACUCGAUAUGGUUGAUUUUGACAUUAUUUUGGUCAUGAACUGGUUGUCGCCCAAUUUUCCUAUUCGUGAUUGCCACGAAAAGACCGUGACACUAGCUAUGCUAGGUGUUCCGCGUAUUGAGUGGAAUGGUACUUUAGAUAUCACUCCCAGUAGAUUUAUCUCUUUUCUUAAAGCUCAGCGUAUGGUUGGGAAGGGGUAUGCCGCGUAUUUAGCUUAUGUGAGAGAUGUUAGUGCUGAUACCCCUUCUAUUGAUUCAGUUACAAUGGUACAUGCCACCCGAUAGAGAUAUUGAUUUUGGCAUUGAUCUAUUGCCGGACACUCAGCCUAUUUCCAAUCCUCCAUAUCUUAUGGCUCCUCCUAAGUUAAAGGAAUUGAAGGAUUAGUUGUAGGAAUUGCUUGAUAAGGGUUUUAUUCGACCCUGUGUUUCACCGUGGGGUGCUCCUGUUUUGUUUUGUGAAGAAGAAGGAUGUACUAUGCGUACGUGUAUUGGUUAUCUCCAUUUGAACAAGGUUACGGUGAAAAAUCGUUAUUAUUUGCCUCGUAUUAAUGAUUUGUUUAACCAACUUUAGGGCGCACAUAUAUUUUCUAAGAAUGACUUACACUCAGGUUACCAUCAGUUGAAGAUUCGGGAGCCAGAUAUCUUGAAGAAUGCCUUUACGACUCGGUAUUGUCAUUACAAGUACCUUGUUAUGUCUUUCAGACUAAUCAAUGCCUCAACAACUUUUAUGCAUUUGAUGCAUAGUGUGUUCAGGCCAUAUCUCGACUCCUUUAUUAUUAUUUUUAUUGAGGAUAUUCUGGUGUAUUCUCGGUGUCGGGAAGAUCAUGAGCAUCACCUGAGGACCAUGCUUCAAAUCCUGAGAGAGAAGAAGUUAUAUGCAAAGUUCUCAAAAUGUGAGUUUUGGUUGGAUUCAGUGGCAUUCUUAGGCCACGUGAUUUCGAGCUAGGGCAUUUGGGUAGAUCCGAGGAAGAGAGAGGCCAUGCAAAGUAGGACCGAGCCGUCCUCAGCUACAAAUAUUCGUAGUUUCCUUGGUUUGGAGGGCUUUUACUACCAUUUAUGGAGGGUUUUUCAUCGAUUGUGGCCCCUAUGACGAGAUUGACCUAGAAUGGUGCCCCAUUUUACUGGACAGAGCAUGUGAGGCAAGCUUUCAGAGGCUCAACACAGCUUUGACUACAGCCCCAAUUUUGAUAUUGCCUAAUAGUUCGGGGUCUCAUACUAUCUAUUGUGAUGCCUCGAGAGUUAACCUCGGAGCGGUGUUGAUGCAAGACGGUAGGUAUUGCCUAUGCGUCCCAGCAGUUGAAAAUACAUGAGAAGAACUACCCUAUCCACGUCCUUGAGUAAGUUGCUAUUGUUCAUGCCUUGAAGAUCUGGCGUCAUUAUUUUUAUGGUGUGCCUUUUGAAAUUUAUACCGAUCAUAGGAGUUUGCCGCAUUUGUUCGAGCAAAAAGAUCUAAAUUUGCGCUAAAGGAGGUGGUUAGAGUUGCUAAAGGAUUAUGAUAUUACUAUUCUGUAUCACUCGGGCAAGGCCAAUGUGGUAACGGAUUCCUUGAGUCGUCGGGCAGAGAGUUUGGGGAGUUUGGCAUAUUUAGCAGCUUCAGAGAGACCUAUGGCGAUGGAUGUUCAGGCCUUAUCCAGUCAGUUUGUGAGUUUGCGUGGUUUCUCAGUCUUCCUUAUUUGAUCGCAUCAGGAGCAAAAGUAUGAUGACCCUCAUUUACUUGUCCUCAAGGGCACGGUUCAAGAGAUGCGACCACUGGAGAUGACGGGGUAUUGAGGAUGCAUGGGUGUAAUUUUUGUGCCCAAUGUUGAUGGGCUUUGGGAGUUGAUUUAAGGAGAGGCUCAUAGUUCGCAGUAUUCCAUCCACCUCAGUGCCGUAAAGAUAUAGCAGGACUUGACACAACACUAUUAGUAGAGGCGGAUGAAGCAGGAUAUAGUUGGAUCUGUAGCUAGAUUCCUUUACUGUCAGCAGGUGAUCUGAGCACUAGAGACCAGGUUGGUUGCUUCAAUAAAUAGAGAUUCCGGAGUGCAAAUGGGAGAGGAUCACCAUGGAUUUUGUAGUUGUCUCCCUCGGACAUUGAAAAAGUUUGAUACCAUUUUGGUGAUUAUGGAUCGGCUAACCAAGUCUGCUCAUUUUAUCCCUGCCUGUACUACUUAUUCAUUGAAACGGUUGGCGAAGCUUUAUAUUCGAGAGAUCAGUCAUCUGCAUGGUAUUCCAGUUUCUAUUAUUUCGGACAAAGUAACUUAGUUUACAUCAGGGUUUUGGGAAGUCAUUCAGCAAGAGUUGGGUACUCGAGUAGAGUUGAGCACAGCAUUUUACCACCAGAUGAACGGACAGUAUGACCGUACUAUUUAGAUUCUUGGGGAUAUGCUUCGUGCGUGUGUGACUGAGUUCGGAGGAUCUUGGGAUCAGUUCUUCCCAUUGGAGGAAUUUUCUUGAAACAACUGGUACCAGUCCAGCAUUCAGAUGGCACCGUAUGAGGCCUUGUAUAGUAGGCGGUGUAGAUCUCCACUGGGUUGGUUUGAGCCAGGUGAGGCCAGGCUAUUGGGCACAAAGUUGGUUUAGGAUGCAUUAGAGAAGGUCAAGGUGAUUUAGGAUAGACUCUGUACGGCCCACAAAUAGAAGAUUUACACGGACAGGAAGGUUCGUGAUGUAUCGCAUAUGGUCGGAGAGCGGGUUCUGCUUUGCGUUUCGCAUAUAAAAGGCAUCAUAAGGUUUGGAAAGAAAGGAAAGUUGAGUCUGAGGUUUAUUGUCCCUUUUGAGAUUUUGAAGCAAGUUGGGGAGGUUGCUUAUGAUCUUGCCUUACCUCCAAGUUUGGCCAGGGUUCAUCCGAUAUUUCAUGUUUCGAUGCUCUGGAGAUAUCACUGUGAUCCGUCGCACGUGUUGGAUUUCAGCUCAGUCCAAUUGGACAAUAAUCUAUCUUAUGUUAAGGAGCUAGUGGCUAUAUUGGACAUGCAGGUCAUAAAGUUGAGGUCAAAGAACAUUGCUUCAGCAGAGGUUUAGUGCUGGGUUAGCCGGCCAAGGAGGCUACUCAGGAUACCCGGCGGGAUAUGCACGACCGAUACCCUCAUCUUUUCACUACUUCAGGUAUGUUCUCUAUGCUUGUUCGAGAACAAAUGAAUUUUUAAGUGUAGGAGGAUAUGACGACCAGGACGAUCGUCAUAAGAAUUAACAUCCUGAUCCUAUAUUAACUACUUCCCUAAAAUUAUUUCUGCUAUUUUGGUUUGUCGGGACGUUCGGUGUUGAGUUUCUGAGAGUUUGGGACGCUUAAACCCUAAAUAAGAUCUUAUGUGUUGAAAAGUGAUCCGUAGUUCGAAUAGUGCGAAAAUCACCUGGAAUGGAAAUUCGAUGGUUUCGUUAGCUUUAUUAGGUUAUUUCGGGGUUGGGAGCGUGUUCAGAAUGCAUUUUUGAAGUUCGUAGCUCAUUAAGGCUUGAAAUGCCAAAGUUUGUGUCUUUAAAGUUUCCAGUCCGAUAGAGAGUUUUUGAUCCGAGGGUCGGAAUGAAAUUUCGAAAGUUGCAGUAGCUCUGUCAUGUCAUUUGGGAUAUGUGUGCAAAAUUUCAGGUCAUUUGGACGUGCUUUGGUUAGGUUUUUUACCAAAAGCGUGUUUUAAUGAAAUUUGAAGUUCUUAGGCUCGAAUCCUUAUUUAAUUCGAGAUUCUGGAGUUGUUUUAGUUGAUUUAAGGAUUGGUGCAAGUUUGAAUGAGGUAUUAGGUGAUGUUGGUGAUUUUUGUUAAGGCCCGGGAGGCCUUGGGGUGAAUUCAGAUGGUUGGCGGGAGGUUUUUGAAGUUGAAGAGUUGCUAAUGGUUGCUGGUACUUGUCAUAACCGUACUUGCAGUUUGGGUUCUGCAGGUGCGGAGCCGCAGAGGCGGCCUUACCGUCGCAUAUGCGGAUUGGGCCCCCUCAGCUUUUCCGCAGGUGUUGAAGAUUUACUGCAGAUACGGUUUCGCACCUCCGAGUUUGUUAUAUCAGAUGUGGCUCUGGGCUUACUAAGGAAACCCGCAGAAGCAGCUUAAGUUCUACAGAAGUAGUUCCGCAGAAGCGGAAAUCACUAUUCAGAAAUAGAGAUUUCUAGGGUUAGUUUUCAAAAGCUAGAAAAUCAAAUUGAGCUCGGGCAAGGGCAAUUCUCAGUGGGUUUUGAAGCGAAGAUCAUUGGGUAACGUUUUGUUAAUCCUUUUAGGUUAUAUUUCAUCAAUAUAUAAUCAAAUUCAUCUUUUAAAUUCAAAUUUGAGGAUCAAAAUUGGGGAAAAUUGGAAGAAACUUCUUAGGCCGAAAUUCUGAGUUUUGAGCGGGUUUUUGGUAUCCGAUUUGGGAGAUUUUUAUAUGGUUAGACUCGUGAGAGUACGAGGGAUAUGGAAAUGUAAAAUUUUUCUGAUUUUGGAGACGUUGGCCUGAGGGGGGUUUUGGUCAUUUUACCUAAUUUUGUGUUUUAUCUUUGAAUUAAAUAGUAGAAUCAAUUGCUUGAGAUGUUAUUCACAAUAUGUAAUUGAAUUGAAUAGAUUUAGGUCGUUUGGAGUUGGAUACUCGUAGCAAAAGUCUGGUUUCAAGUUGAAUUUGGAGCCGGUUUGAGGUAAGUGGCUUGUCUAACGGUUUGUAGGGGACCUUUCCCCUUAGGAUUUGUUAUUUGGUAAUUGAGUGCCUUGUACAUGAGGUGACUAGCGCAUACUUGAGCUAAUCGUUGAAAAUCCAAUUUUUACUUAAGAUAUUGCGACUGAGUUUCUUUCAUAUUUUCUUUAUUUUACUUGCAACUAUAACCUGUGUUAGAUUAGAAAAACAUGUUUAGUUGAUUUAACUUGCCUACUUGCUUAAGUUUCCUUGACUGUAUUACAUGAAGCAUGUUAGGCUAGUACUACCUGUUGCUUGUCUUGUUGUACUUUCUUUCUGAAUAUCUUCUGGUUGUGAUUGCGCAUUUACAUUGGGACUACGGAUGUGGGAUUCCGGUAUCUCCCCCUCUUCCUUUUUGAAUUUCUUUUGGUUGUGGUUGCGCAUUUACAUUGGGAAUACGGAUGUGGGAUGCCGGUAGCUCCCCCCUCCCCCUUGUUUUUUUUCUUUGGGACUACGAGUUAGAUUUCUGGUAGAUCCUCCUGCACUUUACUUUGGACUACAGGUUCGAUUCCCGGUAGAUCCCCCUGCACUUUACUUUAGGACUACGAGUUAGAUUCCUGGUAGAUCCCCCUGCACAUUGAUGGUUGGACUAUGAGACGGUAUUCUCGGAGAUCCUUCGGUUAUAUUCAUAUGAUGGACUACGGGAUAGUAUCCCCGGAGCUCCUCGAAAAGUUGAUGGAAUAGAUUACAAGACGAUAUCCUAGGAGAUCCUCAUUUGGUAUAUCGGUGUUGAGCUGUAGAUUCCUAUGUUUACUCUGUUCAUUGUUUAUUUGUUGCUGCCUCGUAAAUUCUAUCUUAUUUCACUGUUGUUUCACAUUAUUUCCAUCUUAUUUCAUACUGUACAUUCUUACUAUAUUGUUUAACCUCAGUAGGGCCCUGGCCUUCCUCGUCGCUACCCGGCCGAAGUUAGGUUCGGCGCUUACUGAGUACCAGUGUGGUGUACUCAUGCCCCUCCCCUCGUGCGUAUGUUUUUCAUAUGCAGAUCCAGGUACCUACACUCAGGCACACUAUCCUUGAGGCAAGGAGAGCUACAGAGACUUUGAGAUACAUCUGCCGUGUCCCCAGACCAAAGAGUCUCCUUCAUUACUCUAUUUGUAGUAUUUAGCCUUCAAUCAUACUCUUGUUGUAGACAUUUCUAGAUAUUAGAGCGUUCUACAGUACUUCUUCUAGCUUGUGUUCCCGUGAGUUUCCGUAUUUUGGGAUGAUAUUGUAGACUUCCGCAUUAUUGAGUUGUAUUUUCCGAGUGGCAUUUAUAUACAGUUUUAAUUAAUUAUUCCACAAGUUAUGUUGUUUUUACGCAUUAUUAGACUUACCUAGUUAAAGGGACUAGGUAUCAUCACGACAUGUUCAUGGAGAGCGAACUGGGGUCAUGACACAAACAAAGGUCCAGUGAAAGGUAAACAGAAUUUAAAAACUUAGUAGGAACUGUAGGAAAAGCCUAGGAAAGAACACAAAAGGAAACACAGCAAGAUAAACAUGUGAGAGCAUGACAUAGAAACAUAGUAGAAGAAAGAAAAAGCACAGUAGAAGAAUAUGCAAACAUAAGAACAUAGUAGAAGAUCAUGCAAGGUACAAAAAGAAAAUAUAAGAACAUAGCAUAGACAAAUAUCCACAAAGAAAAGAAAAAGAAAAGUCAAAUAAACAUCUUGAGACUUUCAGAAAUCCUAAAUUGAAGAGAAGUAAUUUUUGAAUGAAAAAAAUGGAGAAAACGCUUUAAAAAUCUAGUAGAGCACAUAUAUAGACUAGAUUUAAGAAGACAAUUAGAGAAACCUCGAAUAGCUAGGGUUUCAGAGGAACCCUAGAAUUACAAAGGCUUUGAAAAAGGUCUGAUCUUAAGUCGGAUGAGUCAGAACCAGGCUCAAAAUGCUUUGGAUACACCAGAGUAAGGCCUGAGAGGCCAUGGAACCGUGAAUCGGAGACGAUCUGAACGGAUACCAUCGAGGUUGGACCUCAAAACUUCGAGCACCAAGCGUUCAAGAGUAGAGGGAGGUGAGUGUAGGUCAUCCAUGGCCUGUGAAGCCAUGGAUUCCGGUGAGGUGGUGGUUGAAAGUGGUAGAAGAGGAUUAGGGUUUCAAGAACAUUCGAGAGAGUUUGAGAGACAAUGGGAUUUCAAGGCGGUUUCUCUGAGUGAAAUGAGUAGGGUUAUGGGGUUUGGUGGAAUUAAAAAGAUAAGGGCCAAUCGUGACUGUUGAUCAAAAUUAUCAACGAUCUAGAUUAAAAGAUUGACCGAGCGGGUUGUAUUGACGGGUUAGGGGUCAGGUUAUUUCAGGGUUUGGGCUGGUCCAAUUCGAGACUGAGGAUUAGGGGAUCAAUUUGGCUACAAUUGAAAUGCAAAUGAGGCUAGUUUUUAAAUAGUCAGUUUUUCCCUUUUAUUUUAUAAAAAUAGUAAACAUGAUUUUUAAAGAAAAUUAAACAUACUGGAUCAGUUAAAAACAAGCAAAUAUUAAUUUAAAAAUAAUGGAACCAAUUUUAUAAUUAUAAAAUGUUAUUAGUUCUCAAUGUAGGCUAAACUUAUAUUCAUAUGAUAUUUGACUUUUAAAAUACCAAAUAAAUUUGUAAAAAUAUAUAAAAAUUACUUCUAGCUAUAUUUUGGUAUAAAUAUAAGAAUAAAAUAAGUUAGUCACAAAGAUAAUAAUUUUGGGAAUAAUUAUUGAUUUUUAUACUGCUAAAAUGGACAAUAAAUUGAUUUAAAAAAGUAUAAAUAUGAGAAUAAAAUAAAUUAUUCACCAAGAUGAUAAUUUUGAGAAUAAUUAUUAGUUUUUAUACUGCUAAAAUGGAUAAUAAAUUGAUUUAAAAUAUUUUUAAAAUUGAAAAAAAUACUAAAACACUUAAGCAUACUUAUAUAUGCAUAUAUAGUAUUUGAAAAUAUUUUGUAUAUAAAAAUAGAAGGAAAAUUGGGUAUCAACACCUGUAGUUGUCCCCUGAUUGGAACCAAUCUUUUGAGGUCAUGUGUGAAGCGUGUGAUACAGCGGUUGGAGCGGUUUUAGGCCAAAAAAAGGAUAAGAUCCUCCAUCACAUUUACUAUGCUAGUAGGAAAUCGAGUGAGAUUCAAGUUAAUUAUGCCACAACAGAACAAGAGUUACUAGCAGUAUUGUUUGCUUUUUGAUAAAUUUCGCUCAUAUUUGAUAGGAACCAAGGUCACUAUUUUUAUUGAUCAUGCAACUUUAAAGUACCUCGUAGCUAAGAAAGAUAUUCGACCUAGAUUAUUAAGGUGGAUUUUACUUAUGCAAGAAUUUGACCUUGAGAUAAAGGGCAAGAAAGGGAUAUAAAACCAAGUAGCUAACCAUCUACAUUAAAAAGCCCUCCCUUUGAGUUUAAUGAGAUAAAAGAAGAAUUUUCUGAUGAACAUAUUUUUUCUGUUAACACAAUUGCGACUCAACCACCCUGGUUUGCAGAUAUUGCAAACUACUUGGUUGGAAAGUGGAUACUGCAAGAUUUCUCUUACCAAUAAAGAAAAAAGCUUAUAUCUGAUGCAAAGUAUUAUUUGUGGAAUGAACCUUACUUAUUAAAAAAUUGUGCAGAUAAUACCAUUAGAAAUAUGUACCUGAAGAAGAGAUUAAUAAAAUUCUAUAUCACUGUCAUGAUGGAGCAAUUGGAGGACACUAUGCAUCAAAUCGAACAGCUUUUAAAGUUUUAGAAGUCGGAUUCUUCUGGCCCACACUCUUUAUAGAUGCCUGAGUAUAUGUAGCACAAUGUGACAGGUGUCAGAGAAUAGGUGAUAUCACUAAGAGAGACGAGAUUCUACUGCAAUCAAUACAGGUAUGUAAAAUAUUUGAUGUUUGGGGAAUAAAUUUUAUAGGUCUUUUUCCUUCUUCUCACUCUUUUGAAUGUAUCCUUGUGGUUGUGGAUUAUGUGUCAAGAUGGGUUAAAGCCAUCUCCACAAGAAAGAAUGAUACGAAAAAAAUACUUUUACUAGAUUUAGCACACCGCGAGUUAUCAUUAGUAACCAAGGAACUUAUUUCAUCAAUGGGCAAUUUUCUGCUUUACUGUCAAAAUAUAAUGUGACUCACAAAACAGGAACACCAUAUCAUGCUCAAACUCAAGGGAAAGUUGAGAUUUCCAACCCUAGUUAAAAAGAGUUCUUGAAAAAAGGUUAGAAUAUCAAGAAAAGACUGGGCUUUAAAAUUAGAUGAUGCAUUAUGGGCAUACUGAAUGGCAUUCAAAAUGCCAAUUGGAACAUCUCCAUACAGAUUAAUCUUUGAAAAAGCCUGUCAUUUUCCCAUAGAGUUAUAACAUAAAGCUUUUUGGGCAUUGAAAGCACUGAACUUUGAUUUAACCUCCGCUAGUAAAAAGGGAUUUAUUUAGGUUAAUGAAUUGGAAGCACUGAGAUAAAGAGCCUACAAAAAUGCUAAAUUUUUUAAAGAAAAAACAAAAAUAUGGCAUGACAAAUUGAUCCGGCCAAAGAGUUCCAAAAUUAGAGAUUAGGUACUUCUUUAUAAUAGCCGACUCAGGUUAUUCUCAGGUAAAUUAAAAUCCAGGUGGACGGUUCCUUACAAUGUUAUAGGUGUUACUCCAUACGGAAUAAUUGAAAUUCAGAACAAUGGAGACAAGUUUAAGAUAAAAGGUCAUAGGCUAAAAUUGUACUACGGAAGACAUUUUGAACAUCAUUCAUCGGUUACUUUGAUAUACUGAUGAAUUCUGCAAUUAAUAAGUCGAGCUGACGACGUUAAACUCAGAACUAAGAUACAAAACCCAUAGCCAUUAAGGGAGAAGCAAUUGAGCCUCAUAAGCCCGACAUAGAUUUGGGUAAUUAGAUGCUUACUUAAUUGAUCUGUUCAAUAUCCAGGUUACUUUACAAUCAGAACAUCUCAUGAAUGUCUCUAUAAAAAUAGUGUCACCUGUACAGGAGUAACUCCAUGGUGAUCGGUAUGCCUAAGUAUUUGAUUGAUUAACCAUUUAAUGAAUCAAUUCAAAUGUUGGCACAUGUAAAUUUAAGUUCCCGUAUCCAUUGAGGGAGAAGCAGUGGAGCCUUAUAAGCCCGACAUAGUGCUUAAUUAAUUCAAAUGCUUACUUAAUUUAUCUGGUCAAUAUUCAGGUUACUAUAUAAUCAGAACAUCUCAUGAAGGCCUCUACAAACACAUAGUCACCUGUAUAGGAGUGACUCUAUGGUGAUCGAUGUGAGCAUAUGAUUUUUGACCAGUCGAAAUGAUCUCCUAUCGAACUCUAAAAAUGUAGGAUUUUUCUUUAAAUGUUAGGAUUUUAAUUUUUAGUAUCUGACUGCAUGUGCAUGUUCAUUACUGCGUGUUUAGGAUUAAUUGGGAUUUAAUUAUUAAAUAAUUAGUUUUAUAAAUUAAAAUACAAAAAAAUACAUAGACAUUUCCGGUACUUUAGAUUAUGUUUGUCCAAUUUUGACUUGUUUUAAUUUUAUUUGUGGUUUGUGGUUUUUAAAUACAAUUAGUAAUUAAUUUUGAUUAAAAUAAAAGACAAAAAUAUAUUAAUAAUAGGCAGCCACUCAGGCUGGCCACAAUUGGGCCAGACCUGAGUUGCCUAAUUUCUUUCCUCCUCCAAAUCACUAUACAAACCAGCCAAUAACCAGCCAGUCCAGUCCACGCCCACAUCCACCCAAAUGACACCGUUUAGGACUCCUUCCAUUAAAACCGUCGAUCCUCACACAAUCCAAUGGCCACUAAACCCCCACCCAAAACCAUACUUAUAUGUCCAAAUGCCUCUAAUACAGAUGAAAGACCAACCAACCUCCUCGUACCUUCUUCAUCGUAUAGUAACGCCGACCAUUUACUACCCCAUCAACACCCAUUGACCACCCCAUCACCACCGUUGACCACCAGUUGACCACCCUACUGCAGCCGCCGGAAAUUGCCUCACGGCAGCGGCCGACAACCAAACAGCCCCAAAAUUAUACCCCUCAAUCAGCACGACCUCCUCUACCCCAUCCCAUAACCAGUUCCCUUCGAACACAUACCCUCCGUCUCGAAUAUCUCUUUAAAGGUUCCGGGAAACCCUACCUCCGGCGACCUCAUUCCAAAGCUUCCCAAAACUACACCACCAAGACACCUUGACCUCCCCGUUCAAACCAUGCAUAUCAGCACUCUCAAAUCACCCUGAAACACUUCGAAUUUCAAUUUAUAGCCUGACCCCAAAUCCCCAAACAUGCCGAAAAAUCCUCAAAACCCUCCCAGGUAGUCCCAAACCCCUAUUGACCCUAAUCGUGCCACCCUUAAGUCUCAAACAACCCCCAACCACUUAAAAUUCCAAAUCUUAGACCUAUUGAGGUUUCAGAAGUGUGAAACCCCUCAAGGACCCUUAUGAUUGGUUGUAUAUUGACCAAGGAGGCUCAGAACCCUGUGGAAAGGGCCAAGGUAUAGCUGAACUGAAUUAAACAAGAACAAAAAGUGAGAGCUAAGUUUCCCUGCCUAGUUUCAUUUUUCUUUAGCUUUGAAUGUCGGAUUUCUUUUAAUGACUGAUUAGUUAAUUGCAUGGUUAAUGAUUUGAGUUUCUUUAUGUGAUUUUCUUUUGAUUGUGUGUCUUGAUUAUCCACAAGUUCUUCUAAAAAUUAGGGUUCAUUAUUCAUAUGUUUGUUUGUUUGUCACUAGCCUGGAAUAACUAAUUAGGUUCAUAUAUGUUACAAAGUCUAAAUUUCUUUUUAUUUUGGUUGUUUAUCUGGUUAUCCAAAAAGUUCUCCUAAGAUUAGGGUUUAAUGUUCAUAUGUUUGUUGUUUUUCAUUAGUUCAUGUCCUGUUAUAAUUAGAUUUUAAGUGAUAUGAUUCUCAUAAUUUGACGAACCUUAUUGAUUUUCUGAUUUUCUGAUUGGUUUGACUGUUUGAUUGUGUUACUGAAUGCCUCGUUAGUAGUUCAUAAUAGUUUUGGUCCUCAAUAUUCAUUUUGAUUUUUUAUCCUAUAUUGUGUGUGGAAAUCUUUAUUAAGGCAUUUGUGUUAAGCCUUGUCAAUUUUGGCUAGUUCUGAUACUCAUAAGCUUGUUAGUUUAAAAGGUGAUCUUAAUUUGGCUCACCAAGGUUAAUUGUGAUUGAACUAGGGUUAAAAGGACUGAUCAAGGUCAAGUUCAGGGGUAGGGUAAUUUAGGAAAGCUAAUGAGUGUAUAAAAGGGUUUUGAAUUUGUAAAAAUCUGAUAAGGAAUCUUUUAGAACCUUCUAGCAGGGACUAAUACAUAAUUCCAGACUCGAACUUGAGGCACAAGUUAGAAAUUGAAGGACUACUUAGGCAAAAAUAUAAUUUGAGUUGAGGACGAAAAAGAAAACUAGUAAAAAUCUGAUGCCCUAACAGUUUUGCCAUAAAUUGAACCACUUGGGGCAUUAGAUAGGAUCCGAAACUUUUCUCUACAAUUCUAAUGCUGAUAUACCGAUUCUAUAUCUGAAAAUACCAUUAGGAUUGUUUUGAAUUAUUUUCUGAAGAUAUAACUCUCUAAAAACUCUGCUGUAGUCUGGAAAUACUGUUUAAUUGGUUGUUGGUUGCUUAGCUGAUCUACUCUAUUGACUCAUAGGCCUGUUUUUCUGCUUCUUUACAUGUUCAGUCAAUGCUUUUGUAUCCAUCAGGUUCAAAUCAAAUAUACAAUCCAAUGUGAAGAUUUAGUUGCCAUUUGUAUUUUUGAAGUUUACCCCCUCCAUUCUCCCCUGUUUAAUUUUGAAUAUAGGUGUAGUCAUAGAAUGAUCAUAAUAUUAUAGUUAAUAUUUGACUGAUCCGCUUCUACUAAUUUGAACAUUUGGGACUGUUUGUGUGUGUAAUAAUUGGAUAUUCAGCUCAAAUAUAUGUAUGUGUUUAAGUAGUGAUUAAUUCCAAUUCCAGUCCAGCUGGUUCAAGUGCUGAACCUGUGCACUUAGAACUACUGGACUUAGAAGGCAGCAGUCCUGAUAAUCAUGUAAAACAAAUCAAAAUAUUGUGAAACAUUAUUGUUCAUUUGAGUCUCAGCAUGUUUAAUGAUAAGUUAUUUUCAGAUUUAUCCCUGUAGUAUAACUGGAAUCCCAACUGAAUUUUUGAAAUUAGAUUCACAUACUCUGAAUGAUGAGUAUGUGAAUCACUGGAUUCAAAUUUAUUGUUAGAAAAUUGGAAAAAAAAUGGUUGUUAAUAUUACCCUUUGUGAAUGUGUAGAGUUUUGACUUUGUAUAUAAUUUCAAACCAAAUUGGCUAUAAACAGUUGAAUUCUUCAUUUAAGUUAGUACUGGGCUCCUUCGAGAGGCCCGGUAAGCACCAAGAAAUUAUAAUACUGUUCUCUUUCGAAUUAGAAUAAUCAAAUGUUCGGGCCAGUCAUGGAACAAGCGCAAUGGAUAUAGAUACAGCGUGCUAUGGGCUGGCCACCGUCGCCGGUUCCGACAGCUACGUCUCUCUCCUCUUCCUCUUCUCUCUCUUCUCUCUCUCCUCUCUCGUCUUUUCUGACUGCACAGUGCUGUCGGAACACUGUUCCGACAACUCACGGUGGUCUUUCUUCGACACCUCCUACACCGUCGAGACACACAGCGUCAGGCGCACACCCUCUGCAAAUUUCGUCGCCGGAAGCUGCCUUACGCGCCGCCGACGACCACUCACGCGCCGCCAGCGACACCCACGCGCCACGCGCGUGAACACUGUUCCGGUCACUUUUUCCACCGGCUCCUUUUGGACUUCGCCGGAAGCUGCCUCACGCGCCGCCGACGACCACUCACGCGCCGCCAGCGACAACCACGCACCACGCGCGUGAACACUGUUCUGGUCACUUUUUCCACCGGCUCCUUUUGGACAGUUUUUUCCCCCCACAAUUCCGACCAACUCGGNNNNNNNNNNNNNNNNNNNNNNNNNNNNNNNNNNNNNNNNNNNNNNNNNNNNNNNNNNNNNNNNNNNNNNNNNNNNNNNNNNNNNNNNNNNNNNNNNNNNNNNNNNNNNNNNNNNNNNNNNNNNNNNNNNNNNNNNNNNNNNNNNNNNNNNNNNNNNNNNNNNNNNNNNNNNNNNNNNNNNNNNNNNNNNNNNNNNNNNNNNNNNNNNNNNNNNNNNNNNNNNNNNNNNNNNNNNNNNNNNNNNNNNNNNNNNNNNNNNNNNNNNNNNNNNNNNNNNNNNNNNNNNNNNNNNNNNNNNNNNNNNNNNNNNNNNNNNNNNNNNNNNNNNNNNNNNNNNNNNNNNNNNNNNNNNNNNNNNNNNNNNNNNNNNNNNNNNNNNNNNNNNNNNNNNNNNNNNNNNNNNNNNNNNNNNNNNNNNNNNNNNNNNNNNNNNNNNNNNNNNNNNNNNNNNNNNNNNNNNNNNNNNNNNNNNNNNNNNNNNNNNNNNNNNNNNNNNNNNNNNNNNNNNNNNNNNNNNNNNNNNNNNNNNNNNNNNNNNNNNNNNNNNNNNNNNNNNNNNNNNNNNNNNNNAGGUGAGGGUGGGAAGAGGGCAGCGGACGCCCAUAGAUUAAGGAUUGGGUCAUGGAACAUAGGCUCUUUGACGGGUAAGUACAUAGAGUUGGCGAAGGUUCUUCACAAGAAGAGGGUUAACAUAGCGUGCGUCCAGGUGACUAGGUGGAAAGGGACGAAGGCGUGGAAUGUUGACGGGUUUAAGCUGUGGUAUUCUGGGCUCGUGAGGGGUAAGAAUGGAGUGGGCAUCUUGGUUGAUNNNNNNNNNNNNNNNNNNNNNNNNNNNNNNNNNNNNNNNNNNNNNNNNNNNNNNNAAGAAUGGAGUGGGCAUCUUGGUUGAUAGGGACCUAAGGGAGUCCGUGGUCGAGGUUAGGCGAGUGAAUGAUAGGUUAAUGUCUAUUAUGCUGGUUAUUGGGGGUGGCGUUCUCAACGUCAUCAGCGCUUACGCGCCGCAAGCAGGCUUAGACGAAGAGGCUAAAAGGCGCUUUUGGGAGGACUUGGAUGAUCUGGUGGUUAGUAUUCCCCAAUCUGAGAAGUUAGUUAUUGGAGGGGACUUUAAUGGUCAUAUUGGGGCUGAGGCUGGUGGCUAUGAUGAGGUGCACGGUGGUUUUGGCUUUGGGGCCAGGAGCGGAGGAGGCACUUCGCUGAUUGAUUUUGCCAGGGCUUCCGAGCUCCUGAUUUCGAACUCGACAUUCCGGAAGAGGGAGGAGCAUUUGGUCACCUACAAGAGUUCGGCGGCGAGGACUCAGAUUGAUUACAUCCUCAUCAGAAGGAGCGAUAGGGGUUUGUGCAAGGACUACAAGGUUAUUUCGGGAGAGUCUCUUUCAACUCUCCAUAGACUACUAGUGAUGGAUGUUGAUCUCUGGGUGAAGAAGAAUAGGAGGGGCGCCCGGGGUCUACCGCGAAUUAGAUGGGGAGCUUUGUCUAAGGAGAAAGAACAGGAGUUGGAAAGGAGGUUAGUGGAGGGCGGAGCUUGGAGAAGUUAUGGGGAAGCGGACGCNNNNNNNNNNNNNNNNNNNNNNNNNNNNNNNNNNNNNNNNNNNNNNNNNNNNNNNNNAGUUAUGGGGAAGCGGACGCUAUGUGGACAGUGACGGCAAACUUGGUUAGGGGGGUAGCACGGGACGUGCUCGGGGUAGCUAAGGGAUAUUCAGGUAGACACCAGGGUGAUUGGUGGUGGAGCGAGGCAGUCAAAGGAAAAGUGGAGGUGAAGAAGGUCGCGUUCGCUAGGUUGGCAGGGAGCACAAGCGAGGAGGAGCGGAGUGCGAACAGGUUGAUCUACAAGGAGGUGAGAAGAGAAGCUAAGAUGGCAGUCACGGAAGCUAAAGACGCGGCGUUCAGUCGCAUGUAUGAGGAACUUGGGGAGAGAGGUGGGGAUAAGAAGUUAUUCCUGUUGGCUAAAGCAAGGGAAAGGAAAGCACGUGAUCUAGACCAUGUCAGGUGUAUCAAGGAUGAGGAUGGUAGAGUUCUGAUGGGGGAAUCUCAUAUCAAACAGAGAUGGCAGGCGUACUUUCGGGACCUUCUUAACGAGGAGGGGGAUCGGAGCAUAGAGCUAGGNNNNNNNNNNNNNNNNNNNNNNNNNNNNNNNNNNNNNNNNNNNNNNNNNNNNNNNNNNNNNNNNNNNNNNNNNNNNNNNNNNNNNNNNNNNNNNNNNNNNNNNNNNNNNNNNNNNNNNNNNNNNNNNNNNNNNNNNNNNNNNNNNNNNNNNNNNNNNNNNNNNNNNNNNNNNNNNNNNNNNNNNNNNNNNNNNNNNNNNNNNNNNNNNNNNNNNNNNNNNNNNNNNNNNNNNNNNNNNNNNNNNNNNNNNNNNNNNNNNNNNNNNNNNNNNNNNNNNNNNNNNNNNNNNNNNNNNNNNNNNNNNNNNNNNNNNNNNNNNNNNNNNNNNNNNNNNNNNNNNNNNNNNNNNNNNNNNNNNNNNNNNNNNNNNNNNNNNNNNNNNNNNNNNNNNNNNNNNNNNNNNNNNNNNNNNNNNNNNNNNNNNNNNNNNNNNNNNNNNNNNNNNNNNNNNNNNNNNNNNNNNNNNNNNNNNNNNNNNNNNNNNNNNNNNNNNNNNNNNNNNNNNNNNNNNNNNNNNNNNNNNNNNNNNNNNNNNNNNNNNNNNNNNNNNNNNNNNNNNNNNNNNNNNNNNNNUGCCGGAAGCCUAUAUCAGAGUAAUCAAGGACAUGUAUAAUGGAGCUAAGACUAGGGUUAGGACGGUGGGUGGCGUAUCAGACCAUUUUCCUGUGGUAAUGGGGCUCCAUCAAGGAUCGGCGUGAGCCCCCUCUUAUUUGCCGUAGUGAUAGAUGCUCUAACCCGACAUAUCCAAGGGGAUGUGCCUUGGUGUAUGCUUUUUGCGGAUGAUAUAGUAUUGAUAGGCGAGACGAGGGUCGGUGUUAGCUAAAGGUUAGAGGUAUGGAGAUGGACCCUCGAGUCUAAUGGUUUCAAAAUAAGCAGAUCAAAGACAGAAUACCUGGAGUGCAAGUUUGGCGGCAAGCCGAGUGGGGUAGGAAGGGACGUGAUGCUUGAUUCUCAGGCCAUCGCCAAGAGGGAUAGUGUCCGAUAUCUUGGGUAUGUGAUUCAGGGGGACGGAGAGAUUGACGGGGACGUCACCCAUCGAAUAGGAGCGGGGUGGUCAAAGUGGAGGCUUGCUUCAGGGGUCCUGUGUGACAAAUUCGAGAGAAGCUGGGGGUGGCCCCGGUGGAUGAGAAGAUGCGAGAAGCGAGACUGAGGUGGUUCGUGCAUGUGCGGAGAAGAAGUCUCGAUGCCCCGGUGAGGAGCUGCGAGUGGCUGGAGAUUGUUGGCGGUCGGCGAGGAAAAGGGAGGCCUAAGAAGCAUUGGGGAGAGGUGAUUAGGCAGGACAUGUCUAGAAUAUAGGUUUCCGAGGACAUGACCCUUGAUAGGGGAGUCUGGAGGUCUAGAAUCAGGGUUGUAGACUAGGGGCUCAUAGAGUUCUUCGUACGCCUCACCCGGAGUUGGGUGUGGGAUAGGAGGGUCACCCAUAGAUGAUUAGUGUUUUUGCUUAUGUCCCCUUAUGGUUGUUAGUAUGGUAGUUACGGUUUGUUAUUAUUGCAUGCGACUGUAUUUAUGUUUCUUAUGUUUAUAUAAUUAUUUACGUUAUUUCUAUGGGAUUUACUAAUGCUUUAUUGUUUUGUUUUGUCUUGUUUUUGUUUCUAACUUUGUCUUUGUUUUUGUUUUUGUUUUUGUUUUUGUUUUUGUUUUUGUUUUAAUUCAGCUUUUCAUUUUAUCCUAUGCGCCGAGGGUCGAAUGGAAACAGCCUCUCUACCCUUUCGGGNNNNNNNNNNNNNNNNNNNNNNNNNNNNNNNNNNNNNNNNNNNNNNNNNNNNNNNNNNNNNNNNNNNNNNCUUUCAUGAAUGAUUUGUUGAUGUUAACAGCCUCUCUACCCUUUCGGGUAGGGGUAAGGCUCGUCUACAUAUUACGCUCCCCAGACCUCACCUGGUGGGAAUAUACUGGGUAGUUGUUGUUGUUGUUGUUGUUGUGCUAUCGGCUGGCCCAAACCUGAGUUCAUGCACACGAUUGGCCAUGAAUGAGGCUAAGUGCGAAUACUGCUUCUCCAAAUACACAACCUGUACAUAAAUCAAUUAGUGCAUUUAAGCACUCACAAGAGUAGAAAAUUUAGCAUACAUUAAAAUACCUUUAUAAAAUAAAAGUGAACAAUCUUAAUUCAAACAAAUACAUAUGAUGGCUCUUUACCCUAUUAAGACCCGUAUAAAAUCGAAGUGCCGUUUAACAAAUUUCACGGCCUUUCACGAAUUUCUAAAGAUGUAGUUGCUAUAGGUACGAAUUUAUUAAUGAAAUAUGUUCCUAAAAUUCGGUGCGCAUUUAUGUGACCCAAAUCCAAAUUUCAACGAAGUUGGAACGUGUCAAAAUCCACGGGUGCAUUUAUGUGAGGUGGUUUGAGGCCUGUUCUAACGACGUUGCAAUUCUCUUUAAAAUAAUAAUAAAAGCGGUUUAAAGCUAAAAAGCACAUAAGUUAAAACAUGUGCUAAAAUUGGAUAAUUUAAUCCAAAUAAGACAGUUGAGCGACCGUGCUAGAACCACAGAACUCAGAAAUGCCUAACACCUUCUCCCGGUUUAACAGAAUUCCUUACUCGGAUUUUUGGUUCGUAGACUGUUAAACAGAAUUAUUCUUUCCUCGAUUUUGGAUUCUAACCGGUUACUUGGGACACCAAAAAUCUUCUAAGUGGCGACUCUAAUACUAUCUUAAAUAAAUGAAUCUCGUUUCGAUUGUCCUUAUUUUGGAAAAACUCCCUUUAUCUACGCCAUUCGCCGGGUGGUAGUAGCCAACAAGGAGGUGUGACAAUCGGUAUGCCUAAGUAUCUAAUUUAUUAACCAUUUAAUAAAUCAAUUCAAAUAUUGGCAUGUGUAAAUUUGUUGUUUUAUAUUUAAAUCGGGGUCCAAAUGACUGAUAAGGUCAUAAAUCAGUCAGUCUACAACAUAUAAAAGUAUGUAUAGUCACACACGCUUUUAAGUUUUUUCCUCUCUCUCUCUCAUAUAUAUAUAUAUAUAUAUAUAUAUAUAUAUAUCUUUUAUUUUAUUCUUAAUUUUUGUUCUUGUGCAAUAUUAAUGUUUUAAAAUAAAAGUUUAUAUAUUUUUCAAAGAUAAUUUUUUUUAUUUAUAUCAUAUAUAACUUCCAAGUUUGUGAUUUUAUUUUUGUGAAGGCAAGGACGAGUAUAUCCAAAUUUUAGAGAGUGUUGGAAUUGAGAAGCAUUAUGAUUUCAACAGGUAGAAUCAAUAAAAUUCUGCUAGAACUUGCCUAAAUGUCUAUCAAGACGAAAUUCUAGACAACACUAUUUUUAAAAUUAAACUAGAUUUUCUUUGACACUCUUUUUAGCCUAUCUAUUUUUAACCACAAAUAUUUAUAUUUUAUCUUUUAUCAUCCAACUUUGAGCCAAAACAAAAGAAAAAAAGGGACAAACUAACUUUUAUUGAUACACCAUAUUGGUUUAUCUUACAAAAAAAUUAAUACUACUCCUUCCGGCUAUAGUUGAAAAAAUGAGUAUUAAAGCAAGCGACGGAGGAAUACUUGUGGUGUGAAUGUUCUAUUUCACUCUUCAUAAAAAUAGAGAAAAAAAUAUGUAUAUAAAUGUAAAAUAAAUUAUUGUUUCAAGAAGAUUGAAUUUAAGGAAUCUAUAUAGAGAAAUGAUGACUUAAGUGGUAUUAAUUAUGGAAUUGGGACCGGGACCUUUAGCCAAAUCUCUAGAGUUAUUUUCUUUGUGUUGGGUUGUAUAUAGUUAUUUUGGUAAAAUAAUCGACUCGCACAAUAAAGUUGGAUGGAACAAAGUCACUACAAAUAUAUCAUUUUACCUUACCAGCAUUAAGCCUGAAAAGGUCCUAAAAUAAUUUAAAAAUUUAGUGUCGAUUCUACAUUAGUUGAGACUGACAUGAAGGGUAUGCAUUUGGAAAAAUUUGAGAAACUCAAAAUUGAAAUCAUAAUGUUAUCAUCUCAAAAGGUUCCUCAAAGAGAAGUUGAAAGUUUUUGGCAAACAAAAGCAGAAGCAGAAACAAGGUAUAGAUUCGGCGACUUGAAAAACUAAUAAGUUUUGAAAUUUUUUUUUUUUUUACUUUUCUUCUCUACAAGAAAAACAAUUAUUAAUAAAAUUACUACCUCGAGGACGAGCAGGGAUUCAAGUGCGGGGGAGUUCGAUGACUAUAAAAUAUUCAUAUAUUAUACAAUUAAAAAUAAAUUAUUUUAAAUUAUAUAUAUAUAUAUAUAUAUAUAUAUAUAUAUAUAUCAAUUAUCUGUAUUUUCUAAUAGUAUUUUGCAGAAAAUAUAAAGAUCAUGAUAAAGCAAAUAAUCAAAUAAAAGAGAUCACAAUGCAUCAUGGCAAAAGAACCACGAGGCGUCAUGACAACUGAAGCACAGUGCAUCAUGACAAAAGAAGCACGAGGCAUCGUGGCACUUUAUGAGAUUUGAUUUAUAUAAAAAUGAUAUCAUAGUUGUGUUGAAGGGGAGAGAAGAUCAUACGUACCCACUUAAUAAUUUUUCUCUAGUAUUGGUCUUUGCUUCUCUCUUUAUACAUUUCACCUUAUCUUUUAGCCUUUUGGAUUUUCUAAGAGUAUUGAUCGUAUUUUAAGAAUUCCUUUCUUUGUGAAUACUCUAUAAUGGAGUAUUCUCUUUUGCUAGGAUGGUUGAUGGAGCUCGAUAUUGGUAUAGUAUUGAUCUCAAUUUUACUACAUGCCUGACCUGAAUCUUUCUAAUUAUAUUUCUAUAUUGUAGUGGAAUGUUAGUAUUAGUUAAUUAUUAUUACUUAUAUCUAUUUGUUCUCCAAUAUUAGUUGUCUGUCAAUUUUAUAAUUCUCAGAAAGCUAAAUUAAUAUACGAUAACUAUUGGGCAAGAUAAUAGAGUGAGAGUAAUUCUUUUUAAGCUAUCAUUUCAAGUCUUUAAUCUUGCUUACUUCUAUUUUAAUUCUCACUUAGGAGUUGUAGUUGGAAAGAUAACUAAUUUUUUAGUAAAAAGUAAUCGCAAGAGGUUUUUACUAUCUUUUAGCCCAAUUCAGACAAGAAAAUUAUUUCAGUUUCAUUAUCACGUGUCAUAUAUCAAUUUAUUUAAAUAACUCAUGGAGUAUUAUUAAUUGAUUCUUUCUUAGUAAGAAAAUAUAAUUAUAUUAGCAAUAAGCAGUUAUUCCUAAGAAAAAUACACGUAGAAGCUAAGAUUUUAUUGUUAUCACGCUAUCGAGUGAAUUCAAUGAUUCCUAACUCUUUUUAAAUAUAAAUCUUCCAAAAGUUAUUUUGUUUCAAUUUUGAACAAACAAAAUUUUAUUAAUUUUGUUCUCUCAAAUAGUAGUAAGAAUAAUAUAAGUUUAUAGCUAGAUUCUCUAAUCUCUAUGGGACGAUAUCAUAAACUAUACUAGAAUUUUACAGAGUACGAGACCCUUGACCUCAUCAGAAAUACUCAAUUGAAUAUGAAGUCUCGAUAAGAAGAAUAUUAUAACUUAUAAGACUAGGAAAAUAUACGUAAAUUCUGGGACAUGAAUUUUUAUUUAUGCCUCGUUUUCAAACUUGUGUAAUUACGAGAUCAUGCAAAAUGGAGGAAGAGCUUGGCCUUAAUAUACCUGAACUGAUUCU
This 45646-nucleotide long non-coding RNA is filed under the name Nicotiana benthamiana. RNAcentral describes it as "long non-coding RNA (NBEN_LNC023457)". Lineage: Eukaryota; Viridiplantae; Streptophyta; Magnoliopsida; Solanales; Solanaceae. The record is from RNAcentral.